Molecule: long non-coding RNA, 58595 nt
Filed under: Musa acuminata (dwarf banana)
Lineage: Eukaryota; Viridiplantae; Streptophyta; Magnoliopsida; Zingiberales; Musaceae
Description: long non-coding RNA (MACU_LNC000906)
Source: RNAcentral
UUUUUUUGGGGUCUGGAACUUCAUCUCAAUAGGACCAACUAAUAUUGGAAUGACACAUGGUUGGAUGUGGUACUGUAUCCGUUUGAUUGAUGAUCGAUAUCUAUGCCAGACUGAGAUUUUAAACCUCCGUAUGAAUUAUUUUACAUAUACUUAUUGUAAUAGGUUUUUGUUAAUUGGUUCAUCAGAAUCCUUAUAGCAAAAUUUGUCAUUUCAUUUUUCUUAUGUUCUUUUGAGAUCUUGAGUAAUUUUGCAAAGUUGGUUUUUGGUUCCACCAGCUCAGACUAGAACUAAUUAGGGAGACUAUUUUUUAUCCUGACUGGCCUUUUAAAAUGUUAAGACAUUGCCCAAUGUCGACUUGGAAUUUGGUAGUAGCUUUGAAGAGUUGAUGUCAAGUUGACUAUACAUUUUAAGUUUUUGACAAAUCUUUCACUGGAGCUCCUUUUUUGUUUUGAGCCCUAUUAUUAAGAAAAGGGUUCGGUUAAUAUUUCUUGUCCAGACACUGAAAAAAAUGUCUCUUGUUCAGACACUAAAAAAACGUCUCUUGUUCAGACACCAGCUUAGACAAGAUGAAGGGACCUAGUCAAUUUCUUGAAGUUCUUAUCUCACAUACUACCAAGAACUCGAGCCUUUAAAAUGGUUGAUUUGGCUCUCUAUUGGUAUCUCAAGCAACUGUAAUCAUUGGAGCUAUUUUUUUCUAGUGUAGUGACUUAGCUGCUCUGAAGCAUAUGACUGAAAGGUGCUUAAGAUUUGUGUUAGAAAUAAUGCAUGAAACACAUUUGAAUAUACAUUCCUGAGUACAGCUAUUGCCUGCAAACCACAAGCAGGUUACCACAGAUUUGAGUCGGUAUAUGGGUCUUUAAACUAAAUCCUUAAAUAUGAUACAGAAGUCAGGUCUUUUUUGUCUGAGUUCGUUACAGCCGGUUAACUCUGAUGAAAGUCCAAUUGUUGCUUGCUUUUUUUUUUUGACACAAAUUGCCAAGAAGAUUUGAAUAUAAGGUGAUCACAUUUAGAUUGGUGCUGUUAGUUUAGCAUGAAUUCUUGCAUGCAUGAUGGGGAGAAGUGAUUAGAAAAGUGGUUGUCCUUGUUCUUUUGUUUGACUAGUCCUUUUACCUGGAGUUAUAUUUAUGCUUCCUCCUAUUGUUGGUGUUUGGUACAUUCCAAUCAUUAUGGAGGUACUUGCGUUGGAUUUCACAUGGUUCUUUUAUUUGUGGGGCUUGAAGUUUUGAUGACAAAUGCUUUGUUUCAUCUUUAUUUUUUUGUUCAAGUAAACUUGUGUCAUCGAGUUAUGUCUGCUUUCUCUGACUCUUGAUUCAUGACGUAUAUUAUCGACAACAACCUCUAAUAACUCUUUUUUAUCCGAUAUUGCAGCAACAAUCGCUAUAUUCCUAGACAACACCUUACAAUGCCCCUGCAAUCUGAACCCGGAAAAUCUAGUGGAUCAUUGUGGUGAAAAUGUCAGUCUUUGUUGUCCAAGGAUUUAGGAAUGCAGAUUGUAUACUGUGCUGUUUUCUUCUGGGAGUACCUGGGUAUUCUACUUUUGUGUGGCUACUGUCUUCACUACUAAUUAUGUAGAAUGUAAUCAGGAUCUACUACCGACUUUCCAGUCCAUCAGCUGCAAAUGAAGAUUGGUUUUAGAAUCUAGAUUUGGGUUGAUUUGCUUUUCUCUCAAACUUGUAUUAUCAUCUAAUGUUGAGUUGAGCAACCCCUGACUGACGGUAAUGGUUCUCACCCCCACUGAAUUUGAGCUUACUGUAACUCCACCUUGAAAACCUCACCACAUCAUGGAGUGAGGAAGAAGCCUAAUGACUUGACUGUUGUCAGUGCUUUCUGUUUUUUCUAAUAAAUAUGCACAUUUACAUACCUAAUUUGUAUGCCCCAUUUACAAUCCUAGUAGAAUAUAUGCUUUGAAGUAUCAAAUUUUCUUUAAUUAUUCAGUCGAAGAUGUUUAAAGUUUGAUUUUGUUUUUGAAAUAAAAAAAGUAACUAUGUAUUGAUUCAAAAAACAUAAAACAACCAAUGCAUCAGAGCGCAAGAAGGUUCUCAAGGGUGGCUUACGGGCAUUAGCAAGCCCAUUAAAAUAAUUCCAAGACCUUUGUGGUUAAGCAAUCCAAUUCAUCGGUCCUUUCACGCCUCCAAUCAUUAAACACAAAUCCCAAAUUAUUGUUUUCGAAUAAAUUGCAAUUAUUGCCGACAGUUCCUUCAACAUCGAACGCAUUCAAACACGCCUCAAAAUAACCUACCUAUGAUAUGGAACCUUCGCAAGCUUCAUCGAGUCAAUUCCGCGUUUUUGUCAUUUUCAUGGCUUGGUCAAUUGCUUCAUUUCCUUGUUCUCAUGCUCUCGCCCACAAGAUAUGAUUUAGAAUUCCUCCUAUCUAAGACCUAUCUCUGAUCCAUCUCCGGUAGCAAUCACAGCCAUGGCCAACUCUUUCUUCCAUGAGUUCAAGCGGCAGACCUCUCGCUUCCUCAGAUCGAACAUCAAGACAGCAAGAUUAGUCCUCACCGAUGUCACUCUGGCAGAGCUGUACGCCUCUUCGGCUUCAUGAGACUUGGUAUGUAUCGUGGCCUCUUCCCGAGUCGAUUAACUCCAUCCGGUCAUGCAGGCUGGCCGAGGAAGCAACAAGAACCAAGCCAUGGCCGCCGCGGGACACGAGGGCGCUGCGUGUCAUUUCACGGGCUGCUUUCGAGGUCGAUGAUUUCUGGAGGGUUGCGGAGGUUCUGCACAAGAGGUUUGUCUUCGCCUCGUGUGUUCUAAUCUCGUUCCGCAUGACGAGCUCUCAAAAGUUGUAAUCUGGAGAGUCGAUAACGUCUGCGUCAGGUUCAAGAGAUUUGAUCGGAAGCGAUGGAGGAAAGCAUACAAGGCUAUGAUACUUCUCGAACAUCUGCUGACUCAUGGGCCACUGAGCUUCGCGGACGAGUUGCAGAGCGAUAAGGACGUCAUACAGCGGAUGUGCAUCUUCCAGUACGUCGAUGAAAGGGGGUGAGGGCCUCAAACCAAAAGAUUCUGAUGCUGUUCUUGUUGUUGUGUAUUAGCUACAGUUGUCGUGGGAUGUUUUGUGCAGGCACAAUUGGGGAUUGACUGUGAAGAAGAAAGCAGAGAGGGUACUGAAGCUGCUAGAGAAAGGACCGUUCCUGGAAGAAGAGCGCGAUCGGCUUCGGAAGGCAACUCGGGGGAUCGAAGGUUUUGAUAGCUUCAAUUUCAGUUGGCCACUCACCAUUACUGUUGAAGAGGCCACACAAAACCACAGGAGAAGUAUUCACAGACAACAAGAUGAUGCUGGAACAGAGGAGAGGCCCUCAAAAGAAGAUUCAGAUGACAGGCUAUUGCAGAUUGAGAAUGGUGGAUGCAGUGUCGGCAUGAAGGUCCAACCAGCCGAGGAAUUAAUACCUCUUUUGUCCUGCGAAGAAGGGAGAAUGAUCCAAGUGUUGAGUCACCAAUUGUUUUGAGUACAAGAGAGAGCGGCAGUAAAGUUUGUGUGCCUCAACCCCUUUCCAGCCUUUGGGAGAGACUGCAUUGAUGUCACUACCUUGUGAAUUGCAAUGCACUGUUCAAAUAUGUAUAGUUAGUAAUGAGUCCUUAGGUCACCAUUGGACUUGUGUACAGGGGAGAGAGAGAGAGAGAGAGAGAGAGAACCAUGUGACAUUUCUCCAGCAAGGAGAAGAGGACAGCUUACAUUCUGUCUGCUUGCCAUUAUUUUGAGGAUAUAUAAGUUAGACUUCAUCACUUUGAUGAGCAUUAAGCUACUGCAAAUAGAUCUAUGCCGCCAUUAAUUUAGACUUUUGGUGCCAAACUGAUAGAAUGCUCUGCACACACAGAAUUCUAUGACAUUGAAGAAGGCAAGUGGUGUCUAUAAAACAACAAACUUCCAACUUAGUUGGCAUCCUCAAUACAUUGCAAUAAAAUUUAUAAAGUCAAAAGGACACAUCACAAUAAUUUUCUUACAAUAGAUUAGUAUGGUGAGGUGCAGCUGUCGUUCCAAGCACAAACUAGUCAAAAUCCUUGGUUUGUUUUCUGUGAUGACAAUGAUUCACAGUGUUUUGUUUGACCAAAAAAUACAUACUACCUUCCAUUUGUUCCAUCAUUUCCAAACUAUAUGACAGGCCCUGUGGCUGCUGUAACACACAACCACACAAAUCCUGAAGACACUCAUCCAUCUCACAACAUUGCCACUUCUGCCAAGAACAGAUGCCACAAGAUCACUUGAGUUUUGGUGAGAGAUACUGGGUUUCAUCUUAUUCAUUUGUUCAAGAAGACUUCGUUCAUAAAUAUGCCUACCGUAGCAUACGCGCAUUAUAUAUAUAUAAUGCCUCGGAAAGGUCUUGUUGGGCUCGCCGCUCAAGCUCUUCGUGUUUAAUCGGCGUCGAACAUGAGCACUCCAGGCAACCGGCGUUUGGUUCCGCAAUGCUGGUGGAGGCUUCCGCGCCGGCGGGCACUGUGAAGGUGCAGGAAUUUGGUGCCUCGAUGAGGUUGGCGCAUGAUGAACAUCGUCGUCGUUGAUGGGAUUAAGGAGCAAGAAAAUAAUUGAAAAUAAAAUGUUAUAAUACAAUUAAAAAAGAAGACUUCUAAUAAAAAAAAUAAAAUAAAAUUAAAUAAAUGAUAAGGCUAAGGACACUUACAAAAUAUUUUUAAAUGUACUUUUUUUUUUCAUGAAUCAUUAUCCUAUUUAUAGAAUCUAAUGGUAAUCAUCGUCUCAAAUCACUCGUGACUAAGUCAGAUAUAGAAACUAUCCCAAUAAUAAUAACUUUUUUAGAUCAUAUGCUAAGUAAUGAUUUUCUAUCUUUUUUUCGUCAUGUGAGGCGACUCUUCUUGAGGAGAUGAGUUAUUGAUGUGAUCGAUAAACAAAAAUGUAUAUAUCUUUUAUCCUAUUUUAGUUCCGAUUAAUUUAGUUUCAAUUCAUCGUGGGUGAAAAAAGAUACAUUAUAAUUAUAAGUUUAGUGAAUAUAAAUUGAAAACUUAACUAGAGGUACUAAUAGUGUUGAUUUUAUAAGUGUCAUCGAGUAUAAAAUAUUAAGUGAUUUAAUAAGAAAAUAUUUUAUUUAUAUCCUAUUGAUGUGACAUGCUCAAUUAGUGCAUUAUCAUCUUCGAGUUAACUAAUGCGACGUUGGGUUUUCAUUGAUUAAAAUUCGUUGUUAUAUUAUUUGCCCCAAUUAUGCUUUGGUUAAGGGUUUAUCUCAUUCCAAAGUGUAAUGUUUAUCUCAUAACCUAUUAUGUAUUUUAAAAAAUGAUUGUGUAGUCUCCAAUGUCUUUUUGUCUUAGAUACAUCAUACAUAAAUAUGCUUUUACUCCAUCAAAUACUUCGUAUGUAUUUUAUUUUUAUCUUAGAUAGAUAUAUCACACAUAAGGAGACACCUUGAUCAUAUCUUACCAUUCAAACACUUUUUUAAUGUUUGACAAACACAUUAUACAUAAAGAGAUACUUUAACUAUUUCCAAUGCUUGAAAUGUUUUUUCGUCUAAAGUGUUUUUUCAUUAGAAGCAUAUGUAUCAUGCAUAAGAGGACGCUUUGGCCUUGAUGAUCAUGUCAAGUGCUUCAAAUAUUUUUUUCUCUAAUUAGGAUAUAUCAGAUAUGAGGAUACAUCUUAGCUACAACAGACAUAUUUGUGCUUUAGGCAUAACAAUUCAUUUUACUUAUGUCAUUAAUUUUAAUAUAAACAUAUAAUUGAUACAUUAGUACCGAGAAAUCUUUUUCUCGUUGGGGAGUAUGUAUGUUGAAUUCCUAGAGAAUGUAUAAUUCUCUAUGCCGAUGAGGUGUGAGAAGAUUAAGCAUUUUUGACCAAUUGGGUUAGGUUAGGUGUUUCUAUCUUAAUAUGUUAUCAUUAACAUAUUAAUAGAGUUCUAAUAGAGUUUGAUCCGAUCAUUUUUUAAUAUGUUAUCAUUAACAUUAACAUCAAAGUAUGGAUGGCUCGAUGGCAAAAGUACUAUUGUGCAAUCAUUUGACACCAUAUUUUAAUUUUAAUUGAGACGCUUUUUAUAUAUUUUUUAAUUAUAUUAUAUAUUAACUAGCAUAAGUUAAUAUCCAUUUUGAUCAUCAAGACUAUUUAAUUUGACGAUACAAUCGAUUAGAGGAUACGAUCUUUUUAAGAAUAUAGACUAAUUAUUUUAAGAAAGUAAUUGAUUGGAAGAUACCAUCAUCUCAAAGGAUAUGAUCAAUUUGAAGACUAAAUAAGGUUGAGAACAUUCCAAAGGUAUCGACGCAGUCGUCUUAGUAUCAAAUGAGAUGAUUAACUUGAAGACACGAUCGACUUAAAAAGGAUAAUCAUUAUCGAUACGAGCGAGUAGGGUGUGAGGCUAUCAAUUGGUUUCAUCCCAACAGCCCCUACUGAAAAAAUUCGUAGGGUGUGAGACUAUCAGUAGGGUGUGAGGCUAUCACAUGAAAAAAUUCUUUACAUGGAAGAUAAUAACAGUUGAAAACAUACAAAAAGUAAAAUUGGAUACGGGUGUCGAAACACACUAAUCUAAUUUAGGUAUGAUAUCAUUAGAUUCACUUAACCUUAAUCGAGGAUAUAAAUCCUUAUUUUAAUUUUUUUUUAUGAGACAUUAGAUUCACUUGAGGAAGACCAAAAAUUCUUAGGAAAAGACGAUUGAAUAUUGGAAGUCUCAUCUAAUAAUUCUUUUAUAAUUAAAAUAACGUAGUUGAUGACAUAAUCCUAUCCUAUAAUUAAACACAAUAACGAUUAAACAAGUUCAUAAUCUCAAUCGAUUCCGGAAUCAACGUCCAAAUAGAGGCCUAAAGUCAAUGCAAUUGACCUCUAGAACUAUUAAGGCACACCCUGAUCAAAUUCUAAUCAAGAAAGCUAACAUUUGCUAUUUAAUUAUCUAUAUUUUCUCUCAUCAAUUUUGGGUGAUAAGUUUUGUAGCAUCUCUCUCGCUCGAGUGUGGUCGUUCUGAUGCAUUCUCGGGAAUGUAUAUAAAAGGAACCUUCGUUUUCCAUAGGAGACGAAUGAGAGAACCUCUCAACUACAAGUCUACAAAUCCAUUGAAUCCGUCGUAGGAGGCAUCAAUAUAAUUUUUAGUCUUUAAACUUGUUUAAUAUGGCGUUCUUCUAAAUUGCUAUUUAUUAUUAAGGUUGUUGAUCGCUUUUGCCAUUAGUCACAUGAAUGAUCGAGAUUGAUAGAACUUUUUGAUCUAAUCCCAAAAGCACUCAACAUUCUAGAGGUCUAAUGUAGUCGAAAGAGAGGUUCAUGCGACCGUUGGGUAGUCGAGGAAAGUGAUUGAUCUAUAUGAAGAUCUAGGUUAAGUGAAUUUUUUGAUAUGAUCCCUUCAAUGCUCAAAUAAGUAAAAGAACAACAAAAUUGAAGAAUUUUUAGUAAAAAAAUAAUUGACCUCGAUUUCAUUAACUCGAUGACGUUUUAUAUUUGAUUUACUCAAGAAGAAUAACUAUCGUGAGGUAGGGUCCAAGUAUUCCGUUAAACUUUAAUUUCAAUAUUUUCUUAAUUUUUUAUUUUGGAUUGAUGUCUAUGGGAUCCAAUUAUUAAUCGAGACCAUGUAUCGAGUCGUGAUGGAGCAAAUAUAGAUCGAUUGAUCGGUAAUUCUAUAAAUUUGAGUUACGACAUUAUAUCUUUCAAUUAAAUUUGUUAUCCAACAUAAUAUGUAAGUCAACUUUUAUUUAUUUUUAUUUGGAAAAAAACAAUAUAGCUUAUUAUUGCCUAUUUUUCGUUGGCGUCGACUUAUCCUUUUAUUGCUUUUCCAAUAAAUUAUAAUUUUAAUACAUAUUGGUAUAAUAAUUAUAUUAUUUUUAUUCAUAUUUUUUAUAAAGGGUAAAAGCGGUCAACAUAUUAUUUUAAUCCCAAAAAGAAAACUCACUAUAGGUAGUCAAAAUCUAUAUUGGAUAAAUUAAGUUAAGCGCAUUCUUAUCCUCCUUCAAAUAAACUGAUUUAUUUGAAUUAUCGAGAAAAAUUGAUUUAAGCUUCCUCGCCGUUCUCCCUAUACAAAAGCCACCAUCCAUCAUCUCGGUCAUGGCGACUCUUUCCUCCGGUGAGGUCAAGAAGCAGAGCUUCCUCAAAUCAAAAAUCUGGGCCGCAAGAAUACUCCUCACCAAUGUCACUCAUGCAGAACUGUAAGUGUCUCUUUGGUUCCAACAGCGUCGGUAUAGAUAGAUCAUUGCUUCCCGAGCCGAUAAUUCCACGCGGUCAUGCAGGCUGGCCAAAGAAGCAACGAGAAGCAAGCCAUGGCCGCCGCAGGACACGGGGACGCUGCAUGACAUUUCAGAAGCUACUUUCGACAUCGAUGAUUUCUUCAGAGUCGUGGACGUUCUGCACGACAGGUUCGCCUUCGCCUCGUCCUCUUAUCUUGUUCCGCCUGAGGAGCUCUCAAAAGUUGUAGCGUGGACAACAGGUUCGAGAAAUUUAAUGAGAAGCAAUGGAAGAAAGGCUACAAGGCUCUGAUACUGCUGGAAUACCUUCUGACGCAUGGGCCACUGAGCUUUGCAGAUGAGUUGGAGAGCGAUAAGGAAGUGAUACAGAAGAUGUGCAGCUUCCAUUGCUAUGAUGAAAUGGGGUGAGCACGCCGAACUAUAAGAUUCUGAUGGUGUUAUGUAUCGUGUACUGUGUUGCCAUGUUUAGCUCUGCUCAUGGUGGGUUGUGUUGUGCAGGCAUAAUUGGGGGUCGAUGAUGAAGAAGAAAUCAGAGAGGGUGCUGCAGCUGAUGGAGAAGGGACCAUUCCAGAAAGAAGAGCGCGACCGGCUCCGACAGACUACUCGGAGGAUUCAAGGCUUUGGUAACUCCAGUUCCGAUUGUCCACUCCCCGGCAGGGCUGAAGAGGCCUCAGAAGUGAAGCACCCAAAAGAGGAUUAGGAAUGGUUGCUUUGAGUGAGAGUACAUGCGACAGUGGCAAGAAAGUUCUGCGCCCCAACUCCUUCCCAGCAUUUGGGAGUGUGAGAUUUAGCCUUUGUUUAGAAACCAACUCAAUGAAGUCGGUGAUUUAAAACCAAAAUAAAUACAUGAAUUAUUGUUGUUGUAAGAUUAUCGAGAGAGUAGAAUAAUUUAAAUUUUAAAAAAAUUAUUAUUAUGUCUCUUUUUUCGCUCGUCUAUCUUUCUUACUCUUUAUUAAUAUUGUAUUUUUAUCUAAUAUUUAGGAGUAAUUAUUUUUCAGUUUUUAAAUUUAAGUGAAGUCAGCAUCAAGGGAUUGCUGAUGAGGAGGGAACAUAUAUGAUCAAAGACAAAAAAUCCACUAAAAUUAUGAAUCUUCACUCAGCACAUAGGCACUUCCAAGCUGCUUUGUAUUGAUAGGAAUCAGUGACAACAAGCUCUGCUAACAGUAGGGCAAGAAUAGGAGAUCACUCAGUAGAAAGAAGAGGGUGUGAUAAAAGACAAAAAGUGUGAUAGAACUCUGUCACACAACUCUAAUAGCAUAUGACAAUUUUCAUUUACCAGUUGAAUCAACUUGAUUCAGAUUGUUCGCCUUUACAUUCCCAAAAUAUGGCCUAUACAUGAUUACAGAGUCUCCACCAAAGCUUAACCAGAAUGGCACAAAGUCUUACUUCGAAAAAACAGAGAAGCUCUUUGCGUCUCUGUGGUCCUCUAUAACUUUUUUUCGUUGUCUGUACCUCUAUUUACAGACAAGAUCUCCAUAUUUGUCCUUCCAAAGAUAUGACGAUGAUGGAAACAUCAUCAUGAUACUGUCGUCGGUCACCUUGUGGAAUUUCGAGCAAUUCGUGGAAGUCCAUACCUGCAAUAGAAGCACAGAAACCUUGAUCGGUCGAUACAGCAACUUCCACAUUAAAACCCAUUGUUGUUUGUAUUAUUUUGAAAAUCCUUUACCUGCUUUCUUCGCAGCACGAAAAAUGACUUCUUCAACAAGGUGUUGAGCAGGAUCUCCUUCAGGUGUUGUUUCGAUAAACAUUUCAAUCUGAGCAACUGCUUCUUCGUUAGUGAAAUACUGAUAGAGUCCAUCAGAUGAUAGUAUCAAAAAUUUGUCCUUGGGACCAAGCUUAUGAUGGUAGAGGAACGGAUUGCACGUGAGGUACGGAGAGGUUCCAAUGUAAUCAAUUCUGAACAUCUCCAGCAAUGCGUUGUUCCAUUUGGGCUGCAGAAAGUAAUGAGGAUCUUAACAUAGUCGUCCCAGUUCAUAGUCACAGAAUUAGCAAGCAAAAUUAGUAUGUACUCACUGGAUGAAAAAUAAAAGACUGAUAUUAUCUUAGAAGAUUUCAGUGUGAUCUACUAAAGAGUGCCAAUGUCAUGACAUAAUCUGUUGAUCAAUUGAUUGAUUAAAGAGAAGUUCAUCUUAUACUAGUCCGGAAGGCCAGAAUAUGUUUUUCUCUUUUUGUUCAUUCCAAACCAGCAUGUCUACUAAAUUGAUGAAUCUCUAUAUUUUGACACAAUCUGUGGUUUCAUAACGAAUCUCCUAAAAUUUGUCAGAAGGUGAAUUUUUGAUCAGCUACUCAGUAAGCCAAUUAAGUUAACCUGUUCAUUUCAGAAGGCGCUAAUCCGAACUUACAUUCUAAUGAUAUCAGCUAGCAUAUAAACAUUCACAAGGCAAUCAUUCUGAUACCUAAUUGUAUCAUAUGCUUAAAUACAUUCUUGUCAACUCUUUCUCCAGAUUAGGCCCACACUAAUGGAUUCUUAUCAUUAAGCUUAAGCUACUUUGGAUCCAAGUGCUGUACCAAAGAUCCACCUCUUGCCUAAAUCAGCUUCCGUCAGAUUUAUUUGAUUGAUUUAGGUCUUUGGAGACAAAUCGGAUGGCUCAAAUUGCCGAUGGCAACAACUGAGAAGAAAAAAAAAACUACAUGUUUUGGUUCAUGUAGUUGAGAAAAAAAUCGGAUGGCUCAUGUAAUUUUUGGAUCGGAUGGCUCAUGUAAUUUUUGGAGCACAAGCUGGCCUUUGGAACUUGAUGUUUUGGUUCAUGGUGAUGUGAAUGGUUGUGUGCUUUUCAGUUAUAUUUAGUAAAGUUUAGUUUUUGCUUUUGGAAAAAAAAACAAUUGAGAAGAAAAAUCAUGUUCUCUCUUCCACAAGUAAUCAUUUAAACCUAUUUACAUUUCUUGUAUUAAUUAUGAAUACCAACAAAAUUGACUUGCAUAAAAAGCUAUCAUGUUCUCUGCCAAGACGAGAACAAGAUGAUAAAAUCUCAACAUCAGCAGCUUCAAGUGGCACAAUGCCCAUUAAUUGACAUUGACCAAGAGAUAGAUAGCUUUCAAAAUCACUUUUUCUAGGGAUGAAACCUUAUCUUCUGUUACUAAACCAUAUUUCUGUCCCAAGGUGAGUAACACAUGAAAUCAUCUCAAAGUCAGCAACUCCAAGUGGCACAAGGCAUUUCUAUGCAUGGACCUACAAAAGGAUUUCGAUCUCACAUUCUUAGCAAUGAUAUCAUUGCGAAAUCCAUAUUAUUAUUAAUGAUAUAACCACAUAUCAAGUAUCAGCAAGCAUGAUUCUCUACUGUAUAAAUACCCGAUGGUUGAUCUUAGAGAUGCCAUAAUAAAUGCCAGUUCAAGUGCCACCAGAACUACAAGCUCACACGAUAAAGCAUUAAGUGUAUUAAGAUGACAACAAUCAAACCUGCUUCAAGAAGCCAGCACCAAAAGCUCUUGUGACCUUCAAUGAUCCUUUCACACGAUUGUUUGAAAUGGCCAACGAAUCAUCAGGGUGUUCGCUUUUUAUUCUACAAACUUCCUGGAAUUCAUAAGCAAUUUAGUUCUAAAGUUUACAUAUAAAUUUCUCCAAGAAUAGAAAAGGAAAUGUAUGAAUACCAAAUCAAAUUACUACCUCUUCAACAGAAGUGCUAUGAUCCAAAGUCAGCUGUGUGGCCUCUAAAUUUGGGAAGCAUUUUAAUCCAUCGAAAACUUCAAUAUCACUCACAAUCUCUUCAUUGAUUUUGUGAAGAUCCAGCUUCGGCUUCCUGAUUGAACUCCAAGAAUCUGACUCUGCCUUCUGUGCUAAAAUCGCACGGCUAUCCCCGACGUUCAUUAAAUACACAUCAUCCCCCUUCAACAGCAUCACUAAAACACACGAUCCCAUCAGUGCAAGCUCAGGGUUCUCAGAUAUCAUCUUAUCUGCAAUAUCUAAAUAAUUUUCCUCGGUCUUCCUCAGAGCUUGAGAGAGAGCCUUCAGUACUUGAGAGUGAUUGACUUCACCGGAUGAGCACAACUGGCUCGAUUGCUCCUUAAACACACAGUCAACAUCCAAUCUUUCACCCUCCCGCUCGCAAUUUGAUCUCUCCUGCAACUUCUUCCUUUUAGUAGAGCUCUGCUUGUCUUCUUCGCAGCAUCCAAAUUCCUCGAUGUACACACGGGCAAGCGGAUCAUGGAUAGGCCCGGAAAGGGAAUCUUCUUUAUCAUGCCAGAGAAGUCCCUUGAGUUCUUGGUGCACGGCGAAGUACAGAUUUGAGAGGAGGUAAUCAGUGGCAUCAGGGCCAUUGAAGCCGUCGUAGAUGCCUACGAAGACCCAACCGUGCUCCUCCGAGACGACGACAUGGAUUCGAUCCUCCCCUGCUUUCCCUUGCGCCCAUUGAAGAGUGCCGUUCCGGGAGUCAGACGAAUCCGACCACUUCCCACCCUCCACGCUGUUCCUGCCGCUGCUGUUACUGAGAUUUCUGGAACUCGAGUCGGCCAAGUCGGGAACUUUCGGUACCUUGGUGGAUCCGCGCCCCGGGGCGGUGGCGUAGAUGGUGCGGGUAAUGGCUUUGGUGAGGCCGCGGAGGAGUGAGGCGGCAGCGGCGGCACGACGGGGCGUGGGGAGGCCAUGGGACAGGCUACGGAGCAGCUGGCCGGUAAGGGAAGGGGGCUUCUCGAGGGGGCCAGAGAACAGGGCGGCGCGGUGGUCGAGCGGCCCGGACAUGAACCCGCGCUCGAUAGGGCCCGACAUGAACCCCCGAUCGGCGCCAGCGGCGAUCGGACCGGAAAGGGGCCCGGAGAAGCGGGGGACGGGCUGGAGCGCGACGGAGGAGAAAGAUGUGGAGCUCUCAAACGCCGCCGAUGUGGGGACCGCGCCCUCGCCGGCGCAGUCGACGAGGUGGGGCACGGUGGAGAGCGGCGUGGACGGAUUGGCGCUCACGGAUGCGCCAGAGAUGGCGCGGAACGUGGUCGUCUCCUCCGAGUGGUGGACCUUCGAGGAAGCUACAGCUGCGGCGGCGGCGGCGGCGGCGGAGGACGUGAGACCGCCGCCGCAGGAGUCGGGCCGGACGUAGCAGAAGGAGUGACCGAGACCCUCAUCGUAGAAUUCCGAGGUGACAGCCGCGGCGACGUGGCGGCCGCGGUGGCGCGGGAAUCCGCCGCAGCAGAAGCAGCGGGUCAACCUCGCGUACCCGUUCCCCAUCACAAGAGAGAUAAAGAAGAGAAUUCGAGCCGGAGGAAGAAGAAGAAGAAGAAGAAGAAGAAGAGGUAAAGGGAGAGGGCNNNNNNNNNNNNNNNNNNNNNNNNNNNNNNNNNNNNNNNNNNNNNNNNNNNNNNNNNNNNNNNNNNNNNNNNNNNNNNNNNNNNNNNNNNNNNNNNNNNNNNNNNNNNNNNNNNNNNNNNNNNNNNNNNNNNNNNNNNNNNNNNNNNNNNNNNNNNNNNNNNNNNNNNNNNNNNNNNNNNNNNNNNNNNNNNNNNNNNNNNNNNNNNNNNNNNNNNNNNNNNNNNNNNNNNNNNNNNNNNNNNNNNNNNNNNNNNNNNNNNNNNNNNNNNNNNNNNNNNNNNNNNNNNNNNNNNNNNNNNNNNNNNNNNNNNNNNNNNNNNNNNNNNNNNNNNNNNNNNNNNNNNNNNNNNNNNNNNNNNNNNNNNNNNNNNNNNNNNNNNNNNNNNNNNNNNNNNNNNNNNNNNNNNNNNNNNNNNNNNNNNNNNNNNNNNNNNNNNNNNNNNNNNNNNNNNNNNNNNNNNNNNNNNNNNNNNNNNNNNNNNNNNNNNNNNNNNNNNNNNNNNNNNNNNNNNNNNNNNNNNNNNNNNNNNNNNNNNNNNNNNNNNNNNNNNNNNNNNNNNNNNNNNNNNNNNNNNNNNNNNNNNNNNNNNNNNNNNNNNNNNNNNNNNNNNNNNNNNNNNNNNNNNNNNNNNNNNNNNNNNNNNNNNNNNNNNNNNNNNNNNNNNNNNNNNNNNNNNNNNNNNNNNNNNNNNNNNNNNNNNNNNNNNNNNNNNNNNNNNNNNNNNNNNNNNNNNNNNNNNNNNNNNNNNNNNNNNNNNNNNNNNNNNNNNNNNNNNNNNNNNNNNNNNNNNNNNNNNNNNNNNNNNNNNNNNNNNNNNNNNNNNNNNNNNNNNNNNNNNNGGGGGAGAGAAGAGAGGCUUGAAGAGAGAGAGAGAGAGACAGAGAGAGAGACAGAGAGUUGACUUGUGGGCGAGAGGGGCCUUUGAAAUGUGCGGGGAAAAAAAUCGUGGAGGAGUUGACUUCAGGUGUUGUUUCCCAGAGCCGAAGUUUCCGGUUACGGAAUAAAUAUGGACGAGACGGGGUAGUAAAAAGAGGCGUAGAGGGCAAGUCAAACGACCGACGCGUGGCGGUCGCCGGUGUCAGGGACACCGGUCGCAUUCAUUUCUCCCGUGCCAAGCUGCACACCCCCACCACGGUCCACGGCCUAUAGCCAACCAAAAACCGACACGUACUGGGCAUCGAUUUCAGGGUUGACGUCGCCGUCCAGUAGAUCUUACGAGCGAGGGCUUUUCACCCCUGAAGCUUUUGGCGGUUCGUCUCUCCCUGUUUUACAUGGUGGAAGACGAAGUGACAUUUACCAGGGAGACAUAUGAAUGAGAGGAAGUGAUGGCCUCAAGGAUCCUAUGUUUUCUGAUGGAGCUUUCAAUGUGGAAUUCAAGAUUCCGUGCGGGUUGUAGCUGAAGGGAUGGAGGAUGGGGGUGCAGUUUGCCGGUGUAAGAGCAUAAAUGAUGCACCAGGGUGUGGUGGCAUGGAAUCAGUGACAGCCAUCACACCUGCGCUUCCUCUUUAACCCUUUCUUUGUGUGAGAAAGAAGGCCAUAUGGUUGUGGGUGGAGGAUGGCUGCUUUUGACCACUGCGACGAGAGGCGAAAGAUGAUGAGACGGAGCCAUAGCUUUAAAUGUUUUAUUCUACCUUAUCCUACAGCAUCCGAUAAAUAGGCUUUGCAAGCAUUCUUCAUUCCUAUUUACCUCUUUAAAAUUGUAAAAGGUUGUCAGUGCAUGACACACGAGGUUCUGAUCAAAAUGAGAUAUGGAAGGAUCGAUCUAUUUAGUCUUUUGAAUUCAAUUUAUUAUGAGAAAGAAUUCACAACAAUGGAUGCUUAGUAUAUGGGUUUUGAAAGAUGUUUGGUAGACAUCUUUUGAACUUUAGAGUGAUUAGGAUAGGAUAUUUUUCACACAAGAGAAGGAGUAUCUUAAGAUUUUACUGGAAUAUGAUUGAAAAUUUUAUUCUGGACUGAGAUAUCAAGUGUGUUACAGUUAAGUGCAUCACUAAUGAAGUGGAUACACCUUUUUAGUGUUGAGAGUUGGAAGUGGAAUGGAUGGUCUGACUGACUGCUGAUUGCAAUUUGUAGAACCUCUUUGAUGUUUGUUUAUGUGCUUAAUGACUCUUUCCACCAUAAAUAAAAUUUUUUUUGUUAUUACUUCAAAUAUUCACUUAUACACUUCCUCUAUUGCAUUAUGCAUGUCACAGAUAGAUAAACUAUUCUGAGUCUGUAAUGCAAACAAAGUUUUUGUAAAUAGACUUGAGUGGGAAAAAAUGCCUUAAAUGAAAGGAUUAAAAAUAUUGUUUUGAAAAAAAAAGAUCUUUUUUUUCUUUUUAUAAUUGUCGAUGAAUUGAACAAUUUUUCUUUUUAUAAUUCAUGAAAGUAGAUCUUUUUUUUCUUUUUAGAUGCUUGAGUCUAUCUAAUUUAGUUGAGAUACAGAUUUGGAUUCAAGUGCUUGACUUCAAAUAAAAUUAAUGGCUAUGCAGCCUAAUUUCAUCCCUAUCUGGCAGCCAUUUUCUCCUUGUCUGAACUUGUUUACAUAGUCAUUACACAUGUUUGAAUAUUCUGCAAUUCACGUUGAAAACAUCCAGAAAAUGUGACUUUUUUUUGUCUUCAAGUGAGCGAAUGUCUGAUGGUUUACACCACAGAAAACACAACUCCUCAAAAUAAUUCAGGAAAGACAAAUACUUGCUUAAAGACAAAUCAAAGGAGCAGACUCAAAAAGACUCUUCAAAGGACGGUCUUUGCAUGUAGCUUCAGUAUUAGUCUUGCAGGAUGAGGUCCUGAGUGCCUUAUCCAUUUCUUGCUUUGGAGAGAGAGAGAGAGAGAGAAAUGUCUUUAUCCAUGCAAGUCAAAGAUGUAAACUUCUGGGUGGCAGGAAUCAUCAGAUUCAGCCAACACAGCAAGUUGAAGUUUGAAAGCUUCUUCCCUUGGUCGUUGCUCAUUUUUUUUAACUGAUGGAUUUCCUUGUUCUUUCGCUACUUCAUUACCUCUGCAAUUUUAGAAACACAUAGUAUCUUUUGAGAUUAGAAACCUUCUUUACCCGAUGAACAGAUAUUUAUAUGAAGUGUUAACAAAGGAUAGUUGAUUUCGUAACGUAGCUGAUUUCGUCUAGUCGUAUAAUAUCCUUGCGUGUUUGUUCAUAAAGAAUCAACCUCAUUGAAAUAUCUUAUGGUUCCUUAAGGAUCUGCAAAAAAGAAGAUAGAUUAGAGGAAACGUUUAACUCAGAAUCCUACAAGUCACUAUUUUAGUAAACAUAAAAUUUAAUAUGAUUUAUCAUGAUAAAAGUCUUCAUAAAUAUUCACAUGAUUGUAAAAUAAAACAAUGAAAUAGCCCUCGAUUGUCUCAAAUAUCCAUCCAACGUACUGCCCAUAUAGCUCCAAGGUGAUAUACUAAUUGAUAGUUUGUAUCAUUUUACGAAACUAAAAGACUCCCAAAAUAAUUUAAUUUUGAAUAAUUUUAUCUAUAUUUAUAUUUAUAGAACUAAAAUAAACACACGAGUUAAUUAAAAUGAAGCUAUCAAAUAUACUACAAGCCCUUUACAUACUAUACAAAAUAUAAAUAAAACUAAAAGAUAUAAAUAUUAUAUCAAAUACCAUUAUACAGAUUUAUCCCUAAUAAUAAAUAUCAAAGGCAAAAUGGGAUGGGAUAGUACUAAGCCAUACACUGUGCCACCAUACAUGUUACAAGGAUAUCAAAAAUCUAACUCUUAGAUCGGGGUCAACCAGAUCAUGGUUGCCACUUGGUCACAUGCAUUGCAAUAGCAGAGCUGCUCUACAAUGAAUUGCCAUUCAGUAUAUAGAAAUAAGAGUUUGCGAGACUGACAAAUGUCUCUCCGAGAAUAGACGCUGAAAUGAGCUUCCAAAGACCUCAAAUGGAACAACAAAAAGACAAGUCACAGACACAUUGGUUGCUAACGCACAUUGGAGGGCUUCAAAUCCGCCAUCAUUCGUGAGUCAAGUGGAAUGAGUUCAUGAACCACUAUCCCCACAAUUUAUUGUCUUCACCUUCCCCCUUUGCACUCCACAAUGAGUUAGCUAAUCUUGGCAAACCAUUGGUGCCUUUGAACGAUUCAGUCCGGUAGACAUGUUAGGUCUAUAGCCAUUCAUAAUUUGCGUGAAACGAAGGCCGAUGACAUCAAGUUACAGUCUCCCUUCCUGUACUCAGUCAGCACCAGCCAUUGUCACUCCCAGUUUCUUCUUCCCAGGAAUGUCUUGCUUCUCCAGACACCUUUUGGAAGAAGGUGUGAAGAAGCUGCGAAAUCCAACGAAACCAAUAUCCAAGUCGACACCUUUCUUCCUUCCCUUCAUUCCUUGUGUCCCCACCGUCUUCCCCUGAUGCAAGUCAACCGGUGUUUGAUAUCGAGCUGUCGGCAUUGCUGCAUGCCAAGUGGCCAACAUGACGAGUAUGCUACAAAUCUCUGAAGGGAUAGUCAAUCUCAUUAGGGUGACACAAACCGAAUAGCAAGCCAAUAUAAACAGCCUUCUUCUCCAUUGUAAGUCACUCUUUCAUGAGGAGGUUGAUUCAGGUUAAGUAGGCAAUGCAAGUGAGUUGGGGUAUCCUAUCAAGUAGGUAUGUUUCACAUCGACCAAGGUGAGAUCAGCUCGGAGGCAUACGUCCCUUCAAACAAAAUAGGUCAAAAGUUCAAUCACCAGUGAGCACAAUAGACUAAAUAUUAAUGUGGCAUGUAAAGUUGCUUGUGGGCUUGAUGAUUACUAAUGUGUUACAUGAAUGAGCUUCAAAAUGUAUGAUUACUACGACUCUCUCGAAGCCGCAACUUUAAUUGAUUGCUUAACCACGAUGAGGUCCCUCUUUACCAACUUGACAAGAUAGAAGAUUAGCUUUUGUGCUAAUCUUCUUGAAAUAUACAUCCUGUUUAUGCAGAAACUAUUCGAUCGAUGCUAUAUUCACAUAUAUUUUUUCCCAUUUAUCUCCUUGGAGAGUUUGUCGUUGCUUCUCUUCCAUUUCUACUCUAAUUAGAUUUAUCUACUCUACUGCCAAUCAAACAAAUUUAACUGAGACUAUCAGUGGGAAAAGAAGAGAGGAAACUGAAACAAGAAGGAUUAACAAUGCAUGUCUAAUGAAUUAGAACCAGUUGAACUCCACAUCAAUGCCACAAACAGAGGUCAGGAGGAGUGAAGAACAGUAUCGAAAGGAAAAAAAAAAUUAGAUGCAGCUCUUCCAAUGGCCACCUUCAGUUCAGUGGGCUUCUGGCAAGCCAUGUGGUUGGCCACUGAGUAAGCACACAAGACAUCAGGUGGCUUGAUCCAUGAUUCUGUGUCCACCACCUCAUUUUAUCUCCUCUUUAUGCUGCAACAGUCCAGUCGUGGGAACAGAGGACGAGGAGGAGGAGAAGGAGAAGGUGGUCGUGCGGAAGAAGAGUGGUGGGUUGUGAUGGAUGGGGGAGCAUCUAUCUAUGGCUGCCUAUAAUUGCAUUUGACCAUCUCUGCAUCUCUGUCCCUCGACAAGGUCGUGAGGGGUUCUUUGCCCACUGCCUUGAGGGAUGUGGUGGUUUCCAGUUGUCACUUGGAAGUGUGGUCUUAUGCUAGAGAGGACAGGCAUAUACAGCCUUAAGAUACUGUUGCCUGCGUUUGCAUCAUCGACUCAUCUCAGUCUUUGUUUUGCAAGCUCUCCAAAGGAGAGACAGUUUUAGUACCGAUUUAAUGCAGCAGCCAAAGAGUCGGGUGGCUUCCUGAUUCAAGGACAAAUGACAUGAGAUGCAGCUACUCAUACAGUGAACCAAAGAAUCAUUUACCUCUACGAUAUUUUUUUUGUAGAUUUAUUCGAAAAAAUGGCACUAAUUUAAAGUCCUUUUUUGGGUUUAAAUUCCAAUGAACAUAUAUAUAUAUACCUCUGUUACCACCUGCCAGAGUUCUUAGAGAUCCUUUUUGGAUUGCUCACUCCCAACUUGUAUAACAAAUGUUUUGGAGUAUAGUUGUAUCAAUGCCUCGGUGCACUUCCACGUUCUCUCCCAGGAAAAACACAUUGUUCUUCUGCUUUGAAAACUUUGUACAUCGGUUGAACACCAAGAAGCGUCGUUCAGACGCAAGAUGCUAAACAAUUGAACACAGGAACAGACAUCCGUUCUGUCGUUUCUGUGAAUGGUGAAGGAAAGAGAUCGAGAUGAUUCAAGUAGAACAGUAGAACUAGUACCAAAACCUUGCCUGCUGCUAACUCAUCCACCAGUACCAAAAGAAACCAAGAAUUGAACUCCACCAUGCAAGCUUAUGGCCGAUUCCUUGCCAUCCUUGCAAUCGGUCCUGAAGCCAAUGAUCUCCAGUAUAACCUCCCCACAGAGUUAUUCUUUAGGGUGAGCAUAUCCUUGAUUUCGAAGACCCUGCUCCUGGAACUUUUAUCUCUUGACAGCUUUUUCGUGUCAGCAGCAUCCUCCCCCGGAGAGAUUGAUGUACUGGUGAUGGUUUCUGUAGUCUCACUGUUAGACGUCUUAAUGAUCUGAUCAAGCAUCUCGACCACCUCGCUCAUUCUAGGACGUGACUUUGGUUGCUUCUUUAGGCAUCUGUUUGCCAAAGCCACUAGAUUCUGAGCAGAUUCUAAGCAAUACUUCCCUUCGAGUCGUGAAUCCAUAAUAGUGUGGAGCUUUUUGGGGUCCGUUGCAAAAGGUUUUACCCACUCCAAGAGCUUUUGUUCACUUCUUGGUAGGUUCCUAUCUAAGGACCGCCUUCCUGUUACAAGUUCAUAAAGAACCACACCGAAACUCCAUACAUCGCUUUUAGCAGUUAAUUUUCCGGUGUGGAUGUACUCUGGAGCAGCAUAGCCAACGGUGCCAACUACCUGCCAAGAAAGCAACAGAAAUAGGCUACUUAACAUGGUAUGCAUAAUGGAUAAAUUCUGAAAAUUUGUAGCCUAAAGAAGAAUAUUAAACUUUUAGAUGCUGGCAGCAAUUCACAAACAUAAGAUCUUUUAACAGUUGAAAAAGGAAUGUAAAUAAGCCUUGUCGAUGGCUUGUUAAAAGUUCAUGUGAGCUUCAAAAAAUAAAUACAUAGCAAAUUGACUAAAAUCCACUCCAUAAUAGUUAGGGAUAAUCAAAUGUUCAACAAAUCGAUUUUAUGGAGUUUGCAGUGGAGAUGCAGUCAAAGUUGAGAUAUUAUCCUGUUCGUUCAGUUUCUUCAUUAAAAGUACUUGUUCAGUAAGUGAUACAUAUAGACAAGUAUAGAUAAUGUUCAAGCUUAAGCAACAUUGAAGAUCCGGUCAUGCAUUAUAUGACAAAAGCCAGAUCAUUAUAAUCAAAACUUACUGAUGUCUCAACAUGACCAACUCCUGCUGUUGGGCCAUGCCUAGCAAAACCAAAGUCUGAGAGCUUGGCAUUGAAAUCUUCAUCUAGCAAAAUGUUGGAUGUCUUAAAAUCCCGAAAUAUUAACUGCAUCAAAAGAAUAUAAAAUGAGUACAUAAAAUGGAAAGUGAAAAGAACAAAAUUUUCAAACAUCUACCAAGUAACUUGCAGCACACGUAUACACACAAAGAUAGAGAAGCUGUUACUCUAUUCUAUGGUAAAAACAUGUACAUAAUGAAAGAUGCCAGAUGCCAAACUAAGGAAGAAAAAGAGGAAUCCCUAGCUAAUAUUAUAUAGUACAAGAAGAGAACUGGAAAUAUCCAUCACACCAUGAUCUCGACUGCUGCUAUGGAAACUUAAAACACAGGAAGCAUUAAUGAUACAGUAUAACAUAAAUUGUGAUAUAGGAAGAACAUCAAAGAUUUACUUAGAAACUCAGUUUCACAUGAGACCGGUGGCUUUACCAAAUAGAAUAGGUAUUCGAGUAUGAUUAGGAUUAGGAUUGAUUGGAAGUCCAGAACACCUUAACCUUCAUAUAUGGGACAUGAAAUUUAAAGUAGAAUUGUCAUAUAAUGAAAGCUGAUAAUUGAUGCACGGGAUCUAAAGCACAGGUGUUUAAGGGUUAUAGUGGAGGUAAUAGUCAAAAUUGCGGUAAAAAUUCAAUUUUGAGGCCUUUAGAAAUUAAAAUCAGCAGGCUAACUCAGGAAUUGCAUUGGCAAGCUGAUGAUAAGGGUAAAACUUGUCAGAUCUUAUGGGUAUGGAUUCAUACCUAUUUUGUUGAGAUACAAUAGCUUGUUGUCGUAGCUAAAUUGGGGAAUUAUUUGUUUUACUGUUCAGUUCAGUACUGUAGAGAAUUAUUAAAUAAAUUGAAUAUGGCCUUUCAUCACUCAAACACCCAAUGCAGAACCAACAUUCUGUCCAUCUAUACAUGAGGAAUAAAAAGAGAAACCAAGGCCUUAUAGAGUGGUCACAUAAUCGAAUGACCUGUGACGGUUUGAAAUCAAUGACCUUUUAAGGCAUAGUAACCUAUGAAUGAAAUAAAAAGUUGCACAAAUCAUAAAUAUCUAGUAAUAAACAAUUAAAUGGUCAUCUAGCUUUCAGAAUAAGUCGGCAUCUAAAUUCAGGAAUGUGAAGAAUUAAGCAAGCAUCUGAAUAUUAGGUAAUCCAUUUGCUAGGAAUAAAGCAAUAUGCCACCUGUGCCAAUAUUAUGAGACCUUUUUUUUAUAAAGAUCAUGCUGCUAAGUACAAAUACAUGCUAUAGCCUACUGCAUGUGCCACUACACAUUCAAUAUUCAAUGGCAUUUGCCUACCUUGUUUCUAUAUAUGCCUUGGUACCAUUGGCAAGGAAUGAAACAACUCCAAUAUCUUGCCACUAGCUGAGUGAGAGGCAAAGGUAACAACACUAUAUAAUCUUUGUUUUUAACAUGAUAAUGAACGACAACCUUCCGUUCUUGAUAAUUUCUUCUGCAAAUUAAGCCUGUUGGACCAAGUAACAAGUCACAACAAGCCGCAAAUAAGAGCUCAUCUACACAACCACAGUAGGCUUAAAAAAAAAAGGCUAGUGGUUUAAAAAAGAUGAAUAUCAUUCCCUAUUGUUGGGAGCAUCAGAAAAAAUAAUGAAUAAAACCCUAUUAUCAGCUUAAGUUUGUAGAUGACUUGACAGUGAUGAAAACUUAAGAUCAGAGAGGGAGGUACUGAGAGUCUUUAUUCUAUGUAAUUUUCAUCACAAUUUAAUUCAAGUGACACAUGUUAGUCUCAAGCCAUUCCAGCAGCCCACAGUGACCGUGAGUCUUGGAAAGCUAAAAUGUAAAUUAAUAAAACAAUGUGUUAUCCGUUGCCUUAAAAUGUUAGAUGACUUGGCCAUGGUUUGACAUUUCAAGUACCGGAGCUAAAAAAAGAUGUGUUAUCUGCUGGCGUAAAAUUUUAGAUGAUUGAUACAUCGUAUGGCUUCAAAUUUUGCCAGGUCUGCACUGGUCAAGCUGGAUCAGUACAGAUCUGAUACACGCCAGUGUGCCAACACAGUCAAUACAUAAUCUGAAACAUAUACACAGUGUUGGGAGGCACAUGUCAUGGUCUGUGUUGUUGACCUGACAGUCCAUCGGAUUGACAUGUUCCACCAAGAACACACUGAUUAGAGUGAAACGCAUAACCAUGGACUUGAAAAUAGUGAGACUUUGUGUUUUAUUAGUAAAUCUAAUUUUAUUUAAAAUUCAAUAAAAUUAAUGGAUUAUUUAAAUUAGAAAAAGAAGAAAGUGUUAAAACCAGGAAAACCGUGAAGCCAAACAUUUCUAUACGACAACAACAAAACCGUAAGUCCCAACUAUUUGGGCAAAACAGUAAUUUCUCUGUAGAUUAAUUAAGAAUAUAAAAUGUUGAUUUCAAGACUUAUCACUACCUAAUUCCUCAUGAACAUGUAACAAGUUUCUUCUUGAACAUCUGAAUCAUGAAGCAAAUCACUAUAUUCUCCACAGACUGAUUAAGAAUAUAUAGUGUUGGUUUCAAAACUUAUCAUGAUUUUGUAACAAAUCUCUCCUGAAUAAAUAACUAAAUUUCUUCCUAAAUAUCUGAAUUAUCAUUUCGUGACAUACAAUAUGUUGAGCAGACCAAUUUAAGACUGCUGAGGUAGAUUUCUAGUUAAAAAAUAUAGAAACAAUGUUAAAAUAAUGGAAAGUGACUCAAAAUAUGAAUGUUAAAAUAAUGGGAUCAUGUUGCUGCUCACCGCAGGCUAGAUGCAGCCACUAAAUUGUUAUUUGAUGGAACAAUUAGAAGUAUGAAGGUUGAACAAUUUAUGAAGGAUACACUGGAAUCAUUUGUGAUCAAAGCCCAUGUUUAGAAAACAGAUACUAAUAGUAGGAACAGAAAAAUUGUUCCGUAAAAGAAUUAGAAAAUGCCAUUCUAGUGUAAUUCCUACGGCAUUUGGUUAAUAGUUGAACAAGAUAGCGAUAUCAGCAAAAAAGCAAAAAAUAAAUAUUGCAGUUCUAAAAAAUCCAAUUGUAGGAGAGAUAAAAACAGGAAAUAACUGAAGGAAAAGGCUGUUCCAGCCAUUUGCAUGGAUUGUCAUACUCCUCAUUACAGUUCCAUGUGGUUGUACCCAUAAGAAUCAUGAAAGUGAAUAGGAUUUGGUUGUUCUUUUGGAGAACACUUAAAAAGUUUCUUGCAUGAUAAGGAGCAUGUGUCUUUUAGGACAUUCUCCCUCCUGCCUGAAUUAAUUGGGUUUUUUUAUAUAAUUAUUUUAAAAAUAUUUUACAUUCCUCACUAGUGCUUUACGAAACCUUUUCAAAACAAUAAUUCCAACACAAAAGACAAGAUAUAUUUUUUUUCUGGUGUAUGAUAUUAUAAAACAUUAAUAUGAGCUGAAGCACUGAACAACCUCGACAAGUUCCCUUAGCCAACCAACUGCUGGUGACUUUGCUAAGAUCAUUCAAUAUAUAUGGGACCUUAUCCUUAUGUAGCUUGACACACUUUCUCCAGGUGAGAUUCGAUGCAAAUUAGUUGUUCAUACAUCUCCCUUGGUGAAUUUGCAUGUGUACAAAUCAGUCAUUUGGGUCUUUUUCUUUGUUUUACAAAAAUAUUGAGAUAAGUUGGAAAGAAAUAAAGACAAAUGAAGUCUAGAUAAUUUAUCAUCCUUGAUCUUUUGAACUGUACCAACUUUUAAAUCUAAAUCAUCUUAAUAUCAGCAUGUAUACAUGUUGUUAAUAUCAUUAUGAAAGCUUCCAAUAGUUUAGGUAUUUAUCAAAGGAUAUAAGUAUGUCAAAGAAGUAGAAGCCACACCAAUACUAAAAUCAAGUCGACGUUUUAUUACCUUUAUCAGCUGCUCGAUUAAUUGGUUCAAACUUACAGGAACUAGCUUUGAUAUUUUUAAGUCCAUCAAUCAAAUGAAUUGAUGUUUGUAAGUGACCUUCAACUUCAUGUUAUGGCAUCUAUGAAUGAGUUGCCAACUAUUCAAACUCUAAUCGCAUAUAACCAAGGAGUCCAAUAGAUGACUACCUGAAAAUCCAUUUCUUCGUGGAGGUAUGCUAAACCACGUGCAGCAUCUAGUGCAAUCUUUAACCUUAGAGACCAUGAGAGAGCUGAUGAAACUCGAGAUAAUAAGUGAUCCUCCAAGCUUUUAUUGCGCAUCAAUUCAUAAACAAGAAGCCUUUGAAUCCCCCUCUCAUCAUCUUCAGCACAAUAACCCACCAACUUGACAAGAUUUGGAUGCUUCACUACACCAAGAAAAUUGACUUCAGUAACCCAUUCCUUGUGCCCCUGCAGAAAAAACAAAGUAACUCAAUAAAUUCUCAACCAAAAUUGGGCAAAAUCGUGCAAAUUAUGUUUUUUUCAACAUCAAGUCUAACAAAUCAAAAUAACAAGGGUUUCUGGUACAAUUAGGACAACCACUCAGCUAUAAAUGCAACAAGCAAGCAUCGCUAUUGCAUAAAAUGGUAACAUCCAGGGGUUGCACAUGCCAGCUAUGCCCCCCGAACCCAUGCAGCAUAUACUGUAUCAACAAGGGGACAAAUAUAGCAUUGGACUUGCAUAUGGCUUGUCUUGGUCGGCAUGGCCGCUGUGCCUACCAUUGAAGACUGGGACCUAUAGCUUAGUUAUGCUCGUGACAAUUCGAAACUAAUGUUUCCACAUUGGCAGAUAAGCCAGGAGGAUCAUCAAAGGUUAGUCGCAGUGGAUAGACAAUAGCCAGACCCAAAGGUUGUGACAGAUCAAUCGUGUUCACGGUGUAAUCACAUGAAAAGAACAGGACUUGAAUCUGAAUGCCUUCCACAAAAGACAGGAAAGUACCUAGAAAGAUGGGACAACUUGGAUCGCUCUAGCUCGGUUUAUAAUGCGAAAUCAAGAUCACACCAACGGAAUCAAAAACGUCGAAUCAAAGAUGUUACAUGCAGACAAUUUAAGGGAUAUCGGUACAUGAUCAGGACCUACAUCAUGUUUUCUUCGAACAUAAAAGCAACAUCCGAAUAAGAUUCACAAAGGAGAUCAAUAAAUGCAACUCGCUCCGAGCAUUAAUGCACACCCAACUAUAUCACGAGUCCAUCAGCAGCAACGAAAACGAAGAAACGAGGGAAACUCUUGCCUGCAACCCGUGCCGGUUCAACUGCUUUACAGCGACGUCCAUCGUCUCGGCGGCGCCGUCGUCGCCUGCGACCGUGACGACACCCCUGUAGACGCACCCGAACCCGCCCUCGCCGAUCAGGAGGGAUCGGCCGAACCCCCUGGUGGCGGCCUUCAGCUCCGAGAACGCGAACGCGCGGAGGCCCUCGGGCGGCCCGGCGGUCGCCGGGCAUGGGAGGUCCCAGCCGGGGUCGAGCUCGGCCCGCCGUGGCUCGAGUCCGAGCGAGGAGGAGGUGGACGCGAUGCUGAGGGAGCGUGCCCAGGAGAGGCGGGAGACCCUGGAUCCGGCGUCAUCGAAGGUGCCGCCGGCGUCGCCGCUGGAGAAAUGGAAGCACUUCAUGGCCGGGGAGAAACCCUAGAGCAGGCGAAGGCAUGAAGAGAAGCCACGGAGAGAGAGAGAGAGAGAGAGAGAGAGAAGAGGAGGUGAAGAAGAAGGUCAAUAUAUUAAUGGAAGAAGGUGGGGUGGGGAGCGUCGCGAGAGUGGAGGUUGGGGAGGACCAACUCCCAUCUGAGAGCUCCGUUCCGGGCGCGGGUGGGAACACGACAUAUCAGCACCUGCCGAGGGCUUUUCGGUAAGAAGUGACGGGCAGCGAAGUGAGAUUUGGGGGUUAAUCAAGUCGUCGCACCGCAGAUCUCUCCCAUCAGCAGAAAAGAGCAUUUCAACGAACGGCUUAUCGGCGCAAGAAUCGGGUGGCCCGAGGAUCCUACGUUUGCCACGGGACAGCGCACAGCGCACAGCGCACAGCGCCCCGUCCCAGGAGACGUAUUCGAAGCACCGCCAAUGGUCAACAACUCGUAGCAGCCUUCUCGGUGGCUGGUCAAAGCGAGCGCUCAGCGCCGACGACCACGAAGUCCCCCGUCCCGACCUCCUCAUCGUGCCAAUCUACACAAAUAAUUCCUUUCUAUGUCUGAUUCCAAGUAUGAUUAUUAUGGUCAUGAAUCAGAAGAUGUGCAUAAAUCAGCUUCUUUUGCGUGGCCAGAGGAACAUGGAAUGAUAGAGAGGAGAGAGAGGAGGAUAACGAGAGAUUACUUGUAGCAUGCUAUUUUUAUCUACUUGGAGGACUCGAUGGAUGCCUAUCUCCGUCAACUUUGAUUGUGUCAACGUGAUUUAAGAUUUUGGUGUUCCUUUCACGCAAUUCCUUUUGGUACUUGUGACCAUAAUUUGCCGAAAGCAGUCGCAGGUUGUGUCCUGAGUUGCCUCUCUGGACUACUCACUAAGGAUUUGUCUUCGGGUGGAAACUUAUUCUGCAACCGCUGCUAAUACUUUAUCGUCGGAGACUUGUUCUCGAGAUGGUAAUACUUUCCCAUUUAUCGUUUGUCCGGCUCUCCUGCCUGCCUUCCUUCCAAUUGGAGGUGAUGUGAGACCACUUUGAUAUAUGAAUAAUUUAUAUAAAAAUUUAAACUAUUCAACGUACAUAUUGAUUCGAAACUUAAAACUUAAAACUUAUCAAAGUUCAACUAAGGAUAGAACUUAAAACUUAAAAGAAUUGAAUAUAUAUAUAUAUAUAUAUAUAUAUAUAUAUAUAUAUAUAUAUAAAGAAAGAAAGAAAAGAAGAAAACCUUAUAAGUACUAAAACGUUACUAUCCCAAUUGGUCACCACUUGGCAGAGCCGCAUUAGACUUCCUUGUCUCGAAUGAGUGGUGGUCAACAAUGGGUGCAUAAUCUUUCUUCCUCCCCGGUUUGGUGAGCAAAAUAUUCGUCUCACUAGCUAAAGAAGUCGUAUUGGCCAUGCUUUCAAGGGAAGCAAUAAAUAGUCUGGUUAAGUUUGAUCCAUCGGUUGUAACUUAAAAUAUUAUGAUUUGAUCUGGUCUCCAUGAAUGGGUGCACCAAGUGGCUGGAUCGAAUUCAAUCAAUCACUAUCUCUGAUUCAUCUAUUUAUUAGAAAGCAUUGAUCAUAUGAAUAAUAGGCAAAAUGGCAUACAGCCCAGUAUUAAAUAUUCACUUGUAUCCCUAAAGAACCAAUUCGAAUAGAUUACUGCUUCUUUUAUUGAUAUGUUGAUAUGUAUCUUAUUUCAUUGGCAGCUGCUCUCAGCUCUCUCAUUCUGAAGAAACAUGUUGCAUUGACUUACAGGGGGAAGAACUCAGAGAGGUGGCGGCGAUGUCGACAGUAGCGACGACAGAGGAGGAAAGGCCAUAAGGUGAAGGGUUUCUAAACACUCUCUAUAUGUACAUGAAUAUAUACGUGCACAUAUGUACACACUUAUAAUACAUACAUCCCUGACAGCCAUUUGAAACAUUUUAUUAUUCAGGUCAAAACAUGCUUGUCUGGCAUUACAAUCCAAUCCGAUUUUGUCCAGAUCUAUCGAUUCAAGGUCACAAAUUGGUCAAUGGGAAGGUUUGGCUAUUACAAAAUUGAGUGGCCAAAUCUAUACUGGAUAUUCACCUACACCAUGUUGACUCCAGGAAGGGUUCAACAAGAGGGAAUGGGAUGGACAGUCUUGAAGAAACACCUCAUCAGUUUUCAGUGUAGGGGUACCCUUUUGUCUCCCUGCUUUACACUUUAACAUGGAUUGCUUCAACCAAACUAAUUUACCUAACAACCAAUCAAUAUGACUGGCUGACGAACUGAGAUGUAAUCCUGCUGAGGAAACCAAAGGCAUGAACUGAACAAUGCAGCAUUUUCACACUUGUAAAUUCAUCAUAUCACUGUAUUAGAUAACAAGCAAAGCAGAGACUCCACUGUGAUGGACAAAUAUAAAGAAGUCGCAUCACAGCUAUCAGACAUAACAGAUAUAUGAGCAACUGCGGGCUACAACAAUUUCCUUCGUUGUGCAGCCACUUCAGCCGCCACUGUUACAAACUAUAACUUUGUAUGCUACUCUAUUCCCACUGCUCGGUAAUCCCACACACCACCUCACAGUCAAAUAAGACUCCAAAAAAGAUGCAGUCAAAGUGACACAGACGCAACAAGCACACUCCUACCACUCAGCCGUCGCCAUUACCUUUUACUUUCACGACUACCGAAGCCACUCAGUACUAAUCCACGGCGCGAAAAACACACAAACACUAGUACUACUGCAACUGCUGCUAAAGAAAGAGUAACGAAGCCUUUGGAUUCCAAUGUCAGACGCGGAAGUUCUUGCCCUCGAAGGUCUGGCCGAACUCCCAGGUGGAGGGGACGAUGUUCCAGGAGGUGGAGGUGCGGCGGUCGCUGCCGGUGACGCGGAAGGAGAGGGACUGGCCGACGAGGACGGCGUUGGACUGCCAGUUCUGGCCCCAGUUGCGGGACAUGGGCAUCCACUCGGUGCGGGACCCUUUCACGCUGGCGCGGACGAGGUCGCCGGCGCCCGCCACGUUGGUGAUCAGCACCAGGUUGAAGUACUGGAACCCGUUGAUCGUGAAGCGGAUCCCACCGGAUUUCCUGCAAGGGACCCUGCGAUCGGACGGCCGCAAACAAAUCAGCAAGCACGUCGGUUCAAAUCGAUACGGUGCAUCACACCACGCUAGCCCCAAUAGGGCUGGACCCCACGCGGUUUCCUUUUGUUUGUUUCCGGCCCUACAGGGAGGCAUAGGAUACCGCGACAACGGAAAUUACGUUCUUUCUUUGGGUUUUUGCCUUUUUAGCUUUGUGUUCUGUGAGUCACACAUAAAGUGGGGAAUCCGGUCAAAUAGGUUUAAAAAAAUGAUAAUAUUUUUAUUUUGCUUCGACAAAACAGAGAACCCCAAAAAAAAAAUAAAGGGCGGGGCAAAACGCGGACCGGAGAACAAGCGGAAGGAAAAUAAUUCACGGGCUGGAAUGGGAAGAUAUCAAUAAUCUGAUUCGAUUCUGCUCCCGGACCAAAGUCAGACCCCUUAAAGGCCAGACAUGACAUGAGCAUAGGUCGAUUUCGGUAUCUCGUUUCUGCACAAGUUCAGCUAAACAAAAAAAUAUUUUUUGGGAGAGAUGUGUGCUUUGUAUCCUGAAAUAUAUUGUCCGGUGUCCUAAACCAGGCGUCGGAGACCGAAGAAUAUUGACGAGAGUGGCACUCUCGUCAAUUCAACAACACUGUGGAACAAUUCUGGAAAGUGAACUUUUGAUAGGGAAAGGAACCGGAAUCUCUACCCAAAACAACACAGCCAAAAGAAGGAUGUCAUUGCAUGGAGAAAAAUAAGUAAAAUAAAGGAAAGAGGAUGAGUGAAUCGCACAAACGACACGAAGUUUAAGCGAUUAUGAGGACAUUGGAAAGCAGUACUGAAGAAGGUGGAAUUGAUGCCACGAGAAGGAUACCAUUUAGGGGAAAGAUGUCGCGGGAUCAAAAUGUCGCAUAGGAGCGUAAAGCCCCUUUACAUUGGAGGCUUCCCAUCCAACGCCCCAUACGCAGCCACAUCGUCGCGUAAUCCAUGCGCGUAAGAUGGACGCGUUCGUAAUUAUUUCACAAAAUAAUGGUUCCAUGUUUAGGGCGUCUUUUAAGGCCAAUUCUAAGAGCACAGAUCGAAACCAGCAUGAAUCUACACGCAUCGUAAAGAUCAAACGAUGAAGAUCCGAGCAGAGGAGCUCUACAAAAAGGAGGAAUACCUUCGGAAGGAGACGGGUACGAUGCCAGCGCGGUACUCGGCGAUCUUGAGGAACAUGGGCAUGGAGAGGUCGAAGUGGGGGCGUGGUGGGUUGCACCACCCGCCGUUGUCGGAGGGGAGAGCGUAGUUGGGCGGGCAGAAGUUGGUAGCAGUGAUGAAGAUGGAGGGGCUCCCGCCGUGGCACCACCGCGGGUCGUCCGCGCACUUGAUCUCGAAGCACGACCCGCAGCUCUGCCCCUCGUUGAACAGCGCCGUGCUCAGCGCCGCCGUCUGCACCCCGUACCCCUGGCUGUACAGAUUCCCGUACCCACACGCCCCUCCUGCAAACCCAGCAUCCGGCACACAAACGUCGUCACUCCCCGCUUCGUUCGAGGCUGGACGCAAGAGAUCGGUGACUAUCAUAGGAAUGUGGCUUACCCAUGGUGCCGGACGCGUCACUGCCGCCGUAGAAGGUGGCGUGGGCGCUCUGCCACUGACCGCCAGUGUAGACGCCGGGAAUGCGCCCAGCCGCCGGCGCCAGGAGGGCCAGGAGUGAGGCGAGGGAGACGAAGGAGGCCAACGCCAUUACUCUGUCGCUUUGCUGCUCUCUAGGGUUUGGAUGAUGAGAUUGAAUAUUGAGCGAAGAGGGGGUAUUUAUGGACUCGAGAGUGACACCACAUAAUGGCAGUGGAAGUAAUUAAGGCCAUUUUGCGGGAGUAAAGGCAAAACGGAGACGGAAGAGAGCAAGGAAGGCGUUUUUGUCAAGGAUGGAGUGGUGGGGAAUAAUAAGUACUUAUUUGUGUGGGGCACGAUCAAACCACCCUACAAUUAUACCAUUGUUCCGCAGCGUGGUCCGUCCGAUGACCAAUCAACGGUUGAGAUUAGCCUAUUGAAGGCCUCGGGUAACGGGAAAUUGUGUGUUGCGGUAAAGUAGGAAACCGGAGGGUUAUUUAUUUAUUUGAGAGAAAAGAAAGGUGGGAUAUGGAUCUACGACAGCCUUCGAUCUGGGCUUUGCUUCCAUCGCAAGUUGUGCCGCCACCGACGGCUGUGAUUCGACGACUUUUUAUCCACGCUUUUGCACCCUUUAACCUCCACGCCGCUCGCACACACCACCGUUUCACUCUUCCGCGCAAAGGAUAGAAUUUAAAUGCGAACGGGGAAUGUUCCUUCCAAUCGAAAUCUGACGAAAGGAGACGCGCCAUUUUGCUUUAGUUUUUGCGUCAGGAAUUGUUUCACGUAGUGAGGGUUUUAUCUUUGUCCCUAUUCCCCCACCUUCUCUCUCUCUCUCUCUCUUCUUUACCACCUCCCUCCAACGGUACCCAACGAGCUACCUAACUGCGUUGCGAUGGGACCGCAGUCCGUUCCGUGGUAAUCGGCCGGACGAAUAGCUCUUCCACAGCACCACUGAGGGACAGAGGUGGCGUAAAUAGCAGACAUGCAGCAUCCUUCUGUCCCAAUACAAAUGUCCUGUACCUGCAGUAUGAUUGGCCGGGACGUUUUGAGCCCGCCGGCCGAGAGAGAGAGACAGGGUAGUCGAGAGAGUAGGAAAACGUUUCCCGACAAAAGAAAGGGAGGGGGCUUGAAGAGGGGAGGGGCGAGGUAGGUACUGGGGGUGGGUAAGCGUGACUCACCGCUGAGGCGUCGCCAUCAGGUGGGACAAGUCAACGUGGCCUGAGCGGAUUGGGAGGGUUGGGGGGUGGGGUCAACAAGGACGGGAGGUUGCGGUGGGAGUAGGGUAGGCGAGGUAGCAUCGGUUUCGACCGCCGCACACGCCGUCGCCAACCCCGCCGCGAACGCUGCAAACGUUCGACGUGCUUCGUAGCAUGGCUAAUCAAACCAUGCAUGCAUGCGCGUGGCUACGCCAUCUUUGUUUGGGAACCGAAUCCAUCAUACGUAAUGAGACUGCUUGACUUCCAUAGUUUACGAUCAUCUGCUACUUUAAUGGUCUGCGAGCAAAAGCGUUAUCGAGAGAGCACGAUUGUGAAAGCAGGUUUGCUUCAUCCAGGAUCUCAGAAAGAUAGUGAAGCUCAUUGCUCAUGGCUUGUGGAUUAAGCAAGCAUACAUGAUUGUGUAAUCUGGCCAUGUCUUUAUGUCUACUUGUAAUGCAAUGUGCUCUUCAGUAUCAGCUGCUCAACAAAUCCAUAGAGUUCACUUGGAAGAGAGAGAGAGAGAGAGAGAGAGAGAGAGAGAGAGAGAGAGAGAGAGAGUAGUNNNNNNNNNNNNNNNNNNNNAGAGAGAGAGAGAGAGAGAGAGAGAGUAGAGGAAUGUUUGGUGGUUUAGCUAGCAUGCUUAUCUUGCUGGUUAGAUUUAUUUUCAGUUUGCAUCAUGUGCUCAGACUCAAUGGCAACUUUUCUUAAAGUUGUUGUCUCCACAUUUUAAUCUUAUCCCCCAACAUUUGACAUUGAAGACUAAGAUUCUAAGAUUUCUCACUCAACAAACUCAGCUCAAUCAAGGAUUUGACUGUGAGAUAUGUUCUUCUUCCUAGAGUUCAGAGCAGGCCUAGUGUUGACCAUGGGUUAAAUCAUAUUAUCAACCUGUCUUCUUCCCUGAUUGCAAGUUAGACACUGGGCUUGCAGAUGAUUUCGCACAGCAUGCAUGAUGAUUUUGUUUGUACUUGAAACAAUUGAGAAUUAGUCAAAAGGAGUGUUGAUCAUGGAAAUGAAAUGAAACGCCCCACUGGAAUGAAUGGACAUCAAGAAGAAGAAGAAGAAGAAAAUAUUUUUAAAACGAUUAUAAUAGAUCGGUAUUACACCUCCGUCACUAACCAUUUUUACAUGAACAAAAUAUUUGGCAUUGUCGAUAUUAUAAUUGGCAUUCAAACCCUUGGAAAAUCGCAACAAAACUGAUCAAUAACUAUAAUGGCUAUUUCUUAUUUGUCAUUAUGUUUGUAUAUUUCUAUAUGUAUGAGCCACAAAGAUUACUCAUUUCUCAUGCAGCUUACCAUAUCCUCUAUGAUACUUGAAGUUUGUAACCAAUAAUACAACUCAUGAACAUCCAAUUGUCAUGUAUCCCGAUUUCAUUCAACGAGAGAACAGGUUGACCACCUUAACAGGUGAGCCCGAUACGUAUUCAAGACUGAGCCAUGUCGUACGGCAUGUGUACAUGGGGGGGCACUCAUCCAAUACUUGCACGUCGGGAUUUCUCCCCGACACACAAAUCUUCGCCAUUUACUUUUCUCUCCAUGUGGAAAGGACACCCAACUUGGAUGGAUGCCUUGAUCACUCGGCUAUCUCCACACUCCACCAAUCUUUCGUGUUCUUCCACAGCAAUAAAUACUUCUCAAUCGGCCAUUAAUAAACUACACAAGAUUGUAAGUAUACGAGGCACAAAAUGAUUGCUACUGCCAUUAGGAUUGCAUGUGACCGGGGGACAAUGUCAUGACGAUUUUGAUUGCUUUGCUUGGGGCUACACCUAAAAGCACUCCUCCUCGUGUGUACCGGCGACCUGAUGCUCACAGUAGAGAGAUCAGAAGAGAGAGGUUACUUUGGUUGACGUGUUGCACCUGUUUGCUAUAUUGCAUGUAGUAGCUUCGGACCACAUGAAACACUCGAUCGAUCAUGGACACUGCUGUCAUCUCCCAAGCUUCAGCACGCUUCGUCGUCCAAGAAAAGGGAAGCUUGAGCACGCUCUUGGUUGGCUUUAUUUACUUGGAAUAAUCGAAUGAUCGUGGCCUAUGGCCUUCUUUGGUGCAAGUGUUUAACGUGUUUGAUGCGGCAAAGCUUGGGCUUCCAAAACUUGGGUCUAAGCCUGACAGUGUUGACGAGUUGCCUCCCUAUGGCGAUUGGGUUGCAGAGCCUACGGCAGCGUAGCCUGUCCUGAAGUCAACAGAGCAAGCAUCAGAGUCCAGGGAGAUGGUGGCCAGAGACUUCGAGGGAGGAAGGGAUGGCUGUGUCUUGACCGAACUCCACAGCCUCCCAGGCCGAUCCCUCGCAGCAGCAAUCCAUGCAUGUUGGCCUGUAGCGUUUGGCAGUAGCAGAGGACAGCAGGUGUGAUGAUCCUCGGAUUCCUUCUCUGUUCCUCCUCGUGUACCUUUUUCAUUUUCUACUGUUUGAUGCUGGUGAUGAAAUCAUUUUUCUAGCACCUCAAAUUAAUUACCACCUCUAUUUUCUGUUGAAGGAUAGCUAACCAAGUGGAGGGCAGAAACAUUACAAGCUUUCAUUUGGAGAAUGGAGGACAGGAAUUGACUCUCACAAAUGAUCCUAAAUAUUCUACAGAAUGUGGCCAAAACAGGACUCCACAUUUGUUUCUAUCUCACCUUGGGCAGAAUAUAAUGUUGUGGUGUUCCUAAUUAGAUUUGAGUACGAAAAGGUGCUGUCAUGUGGUGAAUGUGUUGUGCUGAUCUUGUCUUGCCAACAUGAGACAUCAAUCUGUGGUGUUCUUGUUGGUACUGGCUUUAGGGAACCUAUGAUCCACAAAAGCUGAUUUCAAUGGCCAAGCAAAACCCACCCAGAACAGAUGCCUUUUGCUUGUUUUCUGAAGGAACAAGCUGUCAUACGAAUCCAUAGCUCCAUGCCCAGCAAAAGAACAAGUCAGAUUCAGAUUUUGGUUCUUAAGUCCUCUAGCUCCACAGAUACAACCCUAAAUACCUAAGCAUACGGAUAUGAGAUUAUAAACAUACAUAGUAGGCAAUCAUGCAAAAUAUUCUGCACUCAGCAAGAAAUUGCUUUCGGCUGCAGGUAAAGAGAGACUAUUCAAAGCCCAGAAGAACCCUAUUGGGAACGUUCUGCUUUGGGAUCCAUAUGAAGCUCUCAUAUUCUCCACAAGCUCAAAUUUAUCUUCUCAUGCAGAUUACGCCCCACCAUCUUCCGCACCAUUCUCCCUAUCCCAUGCUCCGUGGAAUGCAAGUGUAUGAUUUGUUUUGGUUGUAGUAUCUGGUAAGAAGCCCUGGAAAGCUGAUCCCUUCUUAAUACCUCAAAUGAGGUUCAUUGAGUGCGAACAAAGCACUCAUAUCUGUUCUACACUCCAAAUAGAAGAGGCAACAAAUGAAGGAUAUGUAUGUAGUGCAUGGACCUGAAUUCGAUGUAAAGUUUCUUCCGAAGUAUGAUUCAAUGAGUAGAGUUCAAGGUUCCGAUCUCCCAUCAUUUUCUUAUUUAUCCUCGUAUGGAUGGAUGACUUGGAGAAGUGAGUUGGAUUCAACUUCCCUCUCUUGCUUGGAAACACGAGAAGGAAUCAACAAAGAAGAAAGGAGCUUCACUACCAACACCCGCUCACCGGUAAUUUUCUGAUAUCCCUAACUAGUAGUGAAAUGAAACGACAACAAGGGAUAUCCUCACCGUGUCAACUGUUACGGGUGAUCGAUCGCUUGAUGUCUAAGAAUAACUUCAAGAGGCUCAAGUCAUCACGAAGUAGAAAAGACAGAAUUGGAGGACUAUGCUUCUCUGACACAGAGUACCACACCAGACUCUGUUUUUGGACAAUCUUCAUGGAGGUAGUUUGAAGGUGGAGUUGGCAAAACAGAGUCUUUGAUGGUAGCAUUUGUCAUAUACGUCUACUUUGCCCAUACUCUAAAGCUAACAUGGACCAACAUUCCUGUUAUGGUCAUCUCUUUUUCAUCUCUCUUGUAUAUAUGGCCAUCUAUCUCUCUCUCAUGGCACACCACCAUAUGUUCUCCAACUAUUCCAGCCAUCGAGCGUAAUACCUGCCUCUCUCUCUCUCUCUCUCUCUCUGUAUUAUCUCAUCGGGAUGGGUUCCUUCCCAUGUCCGUCGUCUGUUCUCGUCGAGGCCUUGGUUGUCUCAUCCAUCGUGUUGCUUGCGCUUCCAGCUGAUGUUGUACAAGCCCAGCAAAAUGGCAUAGUUAGACACUACAAGUUUGACGUAUGCUCUUUAGCAACUGCAGUCUUCUGCUUGCAUAAAUUGGACUGGCUAUGAGGUCCAGUGUUGCUGAAACAUUGAGAAUUCGAUCUGCAGAUACAAAUGGCAGAUGUGACUCGCCUGUGCUAUACAAAGAGCAUCAUCACCGUCAACGGGCAGUACCCGGGGCCUACGAUCUUCGCCAGAGAUGGCGACCGGGUCAUCGUCGAUGUGGUGAACCAUGUUCGAGACAAUGUCACCAUUCAUUGGUAUGGGAGUCUUACUCUUGUUAUUGCAGACGUACAGAGAACAGCCUAUCACCUGAUAGAUACUACACACAACUGAGGACAAUCUUUUGAGCACAGGCAUGGAGUCCGGCAACUGCGCAGCGGCUGGGCGGACGGGCCGGCGUACGUGACCCAGUGCCCGAUCCAGAGCGGACAAAGCUACGUUUACAACUUCACCAUCGUGGGACAGAGAGGCACUCUGUUCUGGCACGCCCACAUCUCAUGGCUUAGAACGACCCUCCAUGGCGCCAUCAUCAUCCUCCCCGAGCUCGGUGUUCCCUAUCCAUUCAUCGAACCCUAUAAAGAAGUCCCUGUCAUCUUUGGUACUCACAUCAGCCUCCUGUUGCUGCUGUGUUCAUUUGUCUUGGCUUCACUUUGCUAUCUAUACGCUUGCUUUGCAGGGGAGUGGUGGAAGGCUGAUACAGAGGUUGUCAUUAGUCAGGCACUUGAGAAUGGUGGAGAGCCAAAUAUUUCGGAUGCCUUCACCAUCAACGGACUCCCUGGUCCUCUCUACAACUGUUCGGUUAAAGGUACAAAGAAAACCCCUGCAAAUGGAGGAAUAUAUGUAGUUCGUUUGUGUGAUAAUAUCUAAAUGUUUUGAUCAUGGUGCAACUGCAGAUACAUUCAAACUCAUGGUGAGUCCAGGAAAGUCGUACCUCCUUCGCUUGAUCAACGCUGCACUCAACGAUGAGCUUUUCUUCAGCAUCGCCAACCACACCGUCACCGUUGUCGAGGUCGAUGCCGGCUACGUCAAGCCCUUCGAAGCCGACACCAUCCUCAUAUCGCCGGGCCAGACGAUGAACGUUCUGCUCGACGCCAAACCUAAUUACCCCAAUGCCAUUUUCUCCAUGAGUGCCAGGCCCUACUCUACUGGAUCCGGCGCCUUCGACAACACCACCGUCGCCGCCAUCCUCAAGUACCGCAACCCCAGCAAUUCGUCCUCUGCUGGUUUUAGCAAGGAGCUCGCCCUCUAUAUACCAGUCCUUCCGGCGUUUAACGACACAUCCUUCGCUGCAAACUUCACCGGCAAGUUACGUAGUCUGGCGACGGCUCAAUAUCCGGCCAACGUACCGCAGACCGUCGACCGACGCUUCUUCUUCACCGUCGGGCUCGGUACGGACCCGUGCCCGACAAACCAGACGUGCCAGGGACCAAACGGCACCAAGUUCUCUUCCACCGUCAACAACAUCUCCUUCACAGAACCAACGACGGCUCUCCUCCAGGCGCACUUCUUCGGGCAGUCGGAGGGCGUGUACACGCCGGACUUCCCCGCCUUCCCACUCAUGCCGUUCGACUACACCGGAACUCCGCCGAACAACACGAACGUGAGCCAUGGGACCAAGCUGUUGGUGCUUCCCUUCAACACCAGCGUCGAGUUGGUGAUGCAGGACACCAGCAUUCUGGGGACGGAGAGCCACCCGCUGCACCUUCAUGGCUACAACUUCUUCGUGGUAGGGGAAGGGUUCGGCAACUUCGAUCCGGCGAGCGACCCGGCCGAGUUCAACCUGGUGGAUCCGGUGGAGAGGAACACCGUCGGGGUGCCGGACGGCGGCUGGGUGGCCAUUAGAUUCUUGGCGGACAACCCAGGUUAGUAUGUAGAUAUACCGCGUGCAUUGCGUGCAUUAGAUUCAAACUGUUGAAAUCUGCAUCAUUUGCAGGCGUGUGGUUCAUGCACUGUCACAUCGAGAUCCACUUGAGUUGGGGUUUGACGAUGGCGUGGCUGGUCUUGGACGGAGCACUUCCCAACCAGAAGUUGCCACCUCCGCCUUCGGAUCUCCCGAAAUGCUAGACUUUGAUGAUGCGGGUUCUAAUUAUCCGAUUGUUGCUUGGGUUCUUUUUGUUGUCUUAUUAAUUUGCUUCACACAGCCAUCGAGAGAGACUAUAUUAAGGUUUUUGUUGGCAGAAAAAGACCCGAAUUGACCAUGUCCAAUUAUUAUUAUAUUAUAUCUCACGAUGAUCUCAUCUGUCACGCAGCGUUAGAUCGCUGAUCACAGCGAUAAUUAUUUUUCUUUUAGAAGCUUUUUUGUUCCUAUCGAUUUAACAUUUCUUUAAUUUCUAAAUAAAAAAUCUAAAGUAAAAUUGGUUUAAUUGUCUUUUUAUAAUCAUAAAAUCUGAGAUAAUUCUUUAGUCAAAUUCCAACAUCCAAACAAGCGAUCUCCACCGCCCAACUUAAAGAAUAAACGCAUGACAAGUCUUUUUCUUACUUGUUUCUUUCUUUCUCGAAUCCAUGUGAAGUGCAUCUGUCGAUCUGUGGUCUCAAAACAAAAUCUGCGUUGUGAUUCUGCUGAACCCUACAUUGUCUCAAAAUGUUGGUGAUCGGAUGAUGAAUUUUCUCGAAAUAAUUAAUAAAUAUAAAAAGGAGCAAACAUUUUUCUUUAUAGAAAUUAUAGGCAAAGAUGAACAUUCUGUAUACAUAUUAUGGACAAGAAGCGAUCGAUCCGUACGUGUCAUACGGUGUUGCUUUGGUGAAUUUGACAUCGUUCACCCAUCCUUUGAUUGUUUAAGAUUCAGACUGUGGCGGAAAUGGAGCCCUAAAUCAAUGUCAGAUGGAUUGGUAGGUGGGGAAAUUGAUGCAGAAUAGUAGGAGGGACAAGGCGUUGGGAAGAAGUGGUAAUGAUGAUAUGAUGAGACAGCAGAACCAGUACUGCAUGGCUCCCUGAUGAGCAAGGGCACAACAUCUUGCAGCAGUCCUUGCGGAUACUGCACAGCAUCCCUCGGACGCAUGUUUUGUUUCCCUGCGCCAGGGUUCAGUGUAGCUUCUUCCUCGAGUCCUCGAUCGGGAGAUCCUGGACUGCUCUCGCCACUGGUCACGGCCACCACCUCCUCCCUCAGUUCGCCUUGAAUACUUUGGCUCUUGUAAUCUUUGUGCAGCUGCUCCUCGCCCUGCAGCUUGGGUUUCUUGGGCACCUGAAGCUUCGUAGCAGUAUGAUCCUGGGGACGACGCCGGAGGACGUGAAAGUGGGGAUAGUGAAGAUGGAGGCCUUCGUAGGUUAUGGUGAGCAUGUUUGGAUCUUCUUUCGACCUCUCUACUUGCCUUUUCGCACUGCACCGAGGGUUGGUGCACCUAUAGUAACUCCUGCUCGACAAACCAAAGAAAGAAGCUUCACACAAACUAAGACAGAACGAUGACACGAGCGCCAGAAAAUAGAUCGACUGUAUUUGAUUCUGAUUGUUCAUUUGUUGGUGCUUGUCUCAUGCUAGUGAGACAAACAUGUUCUAACUCUAUACCUGAGGACUGGUAACAGCGAUUGGAACCGAGUCGCGGGUGAUACGCGUAUCAUAAUUUGGUAAGCGUACAGUAUUCACCGAGGGAAGAAAGUACUUGUGUUCAUGCCGUAUGUAUACGUAGUACAAAUAUGUUUGUGGGAACAUGUUGUUAAUCUUUGAUCUGAAUGAAAUAGGCAUUGGUGGCAAGAGAAAGAACCUUGGGUUUGGGUUGUUCUUUAUAGUUUUCUGGCCAUAUUUCCUCCACUUAUAGCCAUCCUCUGCUACUCCACCUCCACAGCUCUUGAUCAUCACCGCGUACUUGGUGUCCGAUUUGCCAAUGCCUUUCUCUGGUACUGGAGCUCUGCAAGCACGCACGGGGACUUCCGGAAUGAUGAGCGAGCGUCAAAGAUACAAUAGAAUCACGUUGUAGAAGAAAUGAUAUUAGCUCACUUACCUAUAACGAUGUGAAGUAGCGCGGACGUCAGGAACCUUGGUAGAUAGAGCUCUCUCGAUGUCUUCAAUGGUCGGACCGGAAUAAGCCGACGAGAUGAGCGUGUUUGGUACGUGCCGCAGACUACCAGCUGUUCCACCAUCUGCAGCCUUGGAUGAGACGAAGGGAGGUGAUGCUUCAGCCGAAAGCUCUCCGAGAAGCUCCUUCUCUGAUUCAUCAUGCCAAUAGAUCUCUGGUUCUUUUACUUGUGCCAUCGGAACCAGUUCACCUUGAUUUGUGGGUUCUGCAAUCGCCAAGGAGAACGGAGAGAGAGAGAGAGAGAGAGAGAGAGAGAGAGAGAGAGCCGCUGUCGGUAAGCAGCUUAAACUUGGCUUUUAAUGACCCAAUUUAAAGUGUUGUGAAUCUCUUUGGUGAAAGGUAUUCCAGACGCUGGACUGUGGCAUUAACUGAAGUAAUGAUCAACAACGGAGUAGAAAAAUGAAUAGCCCAGCGAUCAUCUCAUGCAUGCAUCUUCUCUUUAAUUAAAACCUCAAGCAAGCAACGUAUGACCUACAUCCGAAGACUCCUCCCUCGAAGACCACCGAGUACACGUGAUCUUAUCCCUCCCCCCUCUCCUCCCGCUGUUGCAUGUUGUGGAUGCCUCCCAGCUAUCCAUUCUUCUCCUCUAAAUCAGAGUCCAAGAAACGCAGCUCACGUUUCAACAAACUCACUGUGGCUGCAUCAGCAACGACCCACGCUUGCUGGACUAGCAUUUACUCUUGUACUUACUGUACUGUAGAUACACGGUCCCGUGGUUCGUUGUCUCUUGACAAGUCCCAUCCUCAUCGCUCCAUAUGAUAGUUCAAAGCGACCAGCGGCACCUGGUUCUGCCAGUUUGUACACGACACGAAGAUGAUAAGUCCGAAUCCUCGACUGUCAUUGCCAUCACAAGAAGAUAUGAUGCUGCAUCCCAAUGCCCGGCUGCAUGCAUCCUGGAGUUGAAAUGAUGCACACAGUCCGUGACGAGAGACGUCAGACAAGACUCUUGUACAUGAUAAUGGAUUGGAUCGCAACUUUGUGCCGAAGGAUACCCCUACCAUCUGACGGUGUCAGUGUCACACCGCUAUUCGUGAGCAGCUUAUUUGAGAGUUGAUGGAAGAAAUAAAUACUCCUGUUGCACCCAACCCAAACAGAACACAGGGUGCUAUUAGCGGCCGCCCUUUGGACUUAGCUGGAGAAUACAUAAAUGCAUGCAUCUUAUUGAUUGAAUAUUUGCGAAUUGAAAGCCUGGGGACACCAAGCAAUAAUGCUGUGCGCGAGUUGGCGCAACAGUUCCUAUCAAACAAGAUACAUGGCAGGAAGAUAUAAUAACAUCAUUACUUUGCAUGAUUUUUAGAAUAUCAUAUUUAUGCCACGAUAUCACUGAUGUAAUGCACGCAAACUAUUCGAUAAGAUCGAUUAUUCCAAGAGAUACCCACAUAAAUGGGCCUUCGUAAUUGAUUUGUUUUAUGUAAUGAGCUUUUUGGUCUUCUUCUUAGUUGACGAGGAUAGUAAUUACGAUAAGACUCGGCUGACGUCAACCGACGCAUCACGCCUCAAUCGACGUGAUUGCACUCGGUCAACCGAACCGGAACACCGGCUGAGGCGCAUUAACGCCUACUCAGACGCGGUUCUUCACGCCAUGCCAGCGCCCAUGUCAGACGCUAUCAGCCUGCCUCCUGCAGGCGGGCAUAGCAGUAAGCUUCCCUAUAAAUACCCUCUCGUUCAUCAGAAAGGGGAGGGGGGGACCGACACAAAAACCUUUCUUCAUCUGAAAUCCUCACUCCACAUCACUAACUUGAUCGUCGGAGGGGUCGAGCUGAGCUUCCGACCCGACCUGUGUGCAGGUACGAGGAAGAAGCGCUCUCAUCGGGCGCACAGGCAAAGAGCCCCUUCUCGGAGGAAACCGUCGAGUCCCGCCUGUCCCGAGGAGCCCUUCCCCCGGGAGAUUCCCCGUCAUCCAGACCUGAACCGAGCCACGUCGGCCCCGUGGCCACGGCUUAAAAUUGUUUACACUAACAUUAGUUUUAUUGUCCUUUUUCAUUGGGAUUUUUAAGGCCGUUGGAUCGAAGACGGCCGGAACAUAGCUUUCCUUUCCCAUCCAUGGCGACGUUCGUCCUCCCCACUCGCUCGGUCCGCUCGGGUUUAUGUCAGCGUCGACAUCGUACCGGUACGUCUAUAUAACGGGCGUUACAGAACUCGUGCGACACACUUUAUAACCCGGGAGAAGAGUCCGACGGCGUCCCCCACACGACACCACCGACGGAGCGUGACUGCAGGUUUGCAGCGGGCCCAACACCAAAACUACAGCGACGCCCUUAUCUCGUGGGCCCGCUAAACGUGUCUUUGUUCACCACCACAAACGACGCCUCGAAACGCGGACACCGUGGGAUUUCGUCGUAUUUUUAUUUCUCAUUAAGAGACUACUCUUUCACGGUCGUAAUAAGUCUGACGUAUCUUCCUCGAAUCAAAUGGAAGGUAUGGCGUGUGGUAUGAAACAAAUGAAGCAUGGAUAUUCGGUUUAGUUCUCGCUUUUGGUGCAGACCCAAUUCCCGCCAAAUUUGAAACGCGUUUGCCAACUCCACCGCCUUACCUUGGCUUCCACCGCACACCACUCUUCUUCUCCUCCCUAUAUACUCUCGGUCUCAUUGGAUUUGGAUCCCAACACAACAAUGGGAGCGGGAAGGAUGGAGAUGCAAAAGAUAAAGAUUGGGCGGCCUGGCGAGGAGGAGGAGGUGGCGGUGGGCGGAUGGGAGACGCCGAAGAGGGCGGAGUUCCGGAUCCCGGCUGCGGUCCGCUGCCCCGCGCCGCCUAAGAAGAAGUCCCCCUCCGUGGCGUUUGGCAAGAGGGGGGAUCCGCCCAAGAACGGCUACUUCCACCCGCCCGACCUCGAGGCCCUCUUCGCCCUGUUUUCGAGGAGGGAGGCUUGUGCGUGAAUUCGGCGUAUAUGGCGGGUUAUUGUAGAUAACAGAUGCUAUAAGGUAUGGUUAGGAUUCUUGAUAUAUGUAGUGCUUGGAACCUUUUGCUGCAACGAUGGUAGUGAUUUUUUGUAGGCUUAUUCAUUGUCUGCGGCCCCGUUAAUGUAGUUGGUAUCAUAAUGAUAAAUGAAUUGGUGUUUACUUGUUUUUCUGGAAUGGGGGAAGAAAAUAUUGGGGUUUUGAUGUUCUUGGAAUUAUGCAGUCUUUGCUUUGUGCUGGUUCAAGUUGUGUUGUAGUUGUAGUGCAUCGACAUCGAGAUGACAAGCACAAGGAACUUUUACUUGAUUUUGCUUGAGACUGUUGCAGAUCGGACGAGAAGGAUGUUUAUUCGAUGAUACUUGUUAAUUAGUUGUCGUGAAAGCAAGAAUAAGAAUAAGAAAGCAUUCGGUGUUCUAAUGUCUGCAGACAAAGAAGUCAUGCAGUGGUCCUCUGAAGAUUCUUCAUUUGGUGGAACAUUCAACUAAUCAUCAUUGUAGUGUUUUCGUAGAAGGAUUUUUCUCUUGGCGAAUGGAGAAAGCUCGAGAUAAAGAAUCCUAAACGACAUCGGUUGUAGAUAUCUAUGGGAGGCAUAAAAUUCAGCAUAUGUGGCAUAGUAUUGUAUUAAUAUGAGGGCCACAUGCGUUUGGCCUUCUUCCGGUCUGAAGACCUCAUUGAUGAUGAACUGAAAGAAACAAGGAUUAAAUAGUUCAUCUUUCUUGUUUCAUUCUUCCAAGGCCUUUGGUCCACUGCUUUCGGCGUAUAAAGAUCACAUGGAGUCAUGUGGAGUUCAUUUCUCCGGGCAUCCCUAGCGGCGCCAUGUCUCGGCACCUCACAUGCCUUGCAGAAGCUUUCUGCUGCCCUAACGAGGCUAAAGGAUGAAGAAACAAGUGCAUCCUGUGAUGAGUCUUCUUCCUCCGCCUUUCAUUUCUGCUGGAAAGCCAAGGACAAAUGAGCUUCGAUGAAUAGGUCUUUCCAUUUCAAAUUGGAGAGUCAGAACUGAGGCCUAAACGGACGCAUCUGAAUCAAAUCACGGAUGCUCCUGCACGAGGUUGGUCGAUUAGGGUUGGUAUGGGUCUGCGGACAUCCCAAAUCUUUGACAGGUUCGUCCUGCAUAUGCCCUGUGGGUGUCAUUUUGCUGCGAUAACUAAGAAACUGAGGCUAUCCCAUGAACAUGGCAGACAAAUGGGCCCAUAGAUUGAUUACCACCAUGCAAUGCACGCAGGCAAAUCAGAGUGUUAGCACUCCGUUUCCCUUAAAUACAUGCAUGCUAGUACUGCUUUUAAGCAGAACCAUUGGGUUCAACAACAAGACCAAGUUUUCAAGUAAUAAAAUAGUUGGAUUUAGUGAGAUAAAGUUGGUCUUCAAAUCUCAUUUUAUUUUCCAUGGCUCGGCAUUAUGAUUAUGAUGGUCUGGUCUGAGACAAAGGAGGACAUGCAUGCACAACUUUGGUUCAUGAAUCUUCACCUAUCCCGGCAUUAAUGACUUGCACAGAAUAACCCCUUCAUAUUUUUUUACCGUGAGAAAUUAAGAUGAAAAGCCAUCGACAUGAGAACGUCUGGUGGAAGUUUCAAUUCAGUGAUGUGUGAUGAAUGUGCUGAGUCCGGAAGAAGAAGGGAAGGAUCGACGAGGCGUCGGAACUCGAGAGGGGAGCCGACCAAGAUUCGCUGGUGGAGUAGAUAUAGCAUUUGACGAGGCAAAGGCGACCCCGUAGGUGGCCUCCGGAACAGAUUCUCGUGCAACAAGAUUAGAUCUCACGUCUGAGAACCUCCACCCAUAUGAACGAGAAAAGUGGGCGGAGAGACGUGAAGAACCCAACUUCUUCCUCUUAUCUUCUUCUUCCUGUAUAAAUCAGCGUCGGAGGUUUCCUCAUGGAUUCAUUCUGUCAAUUGCAUAAACCCACUCUCUUGUUUUGUUCUUUCUUCUCGGUUGGAUCGUCGCUCUUUAGCUAGUACUUCUUCCAUCUGUACGAGAACCGAGUCUGAGAGGGAGAGGUCGCGGAGUAGAGGAACCAGAAAACAAAGGUUUGCUUCGGCCGUGGAGCCGCCGAGCAUGGACGAGAAGUGGAAGCUGUCCAAGAAGGGGAGCAGGCGAGAAGGUGGCCCCUCGUGGAAGGGUUCCGGGAGCGUUCAGGAGGGGAGGAGGAGGAGGAGGACCAGCAGCAGCAUGGCGACGGCGACGCGGUCACCGUUCGCGAGCCGGUGCGCGAGGCUGGUGAAGGAGCAGAGGGCGAGGUUCUACAUCAUAAGCCGCUGCGUCACCAUGCUCGUCUGCUGGAGAGACUACCCUUGAAUUAAGAGGACCUACAGCAUGUACCGCCGCCUCCUCUUGUGGUUGCAUUUGGGUUUCCUUCCUCUGUUGGAGACGGCCUUCUCAGCCGUCCGGUGAGGAAGGGAAGGGUUGGGCAUAGGAUGAUACAGACAUAGAAGCAAAGAAAUUAAUAUGAAGAAUACGAUGGAUUAUCAUUUUUUUUUCCUAUGGCUAUUGAGUAUCGAGUGAUCUGAUCUAUCAAGACUCAUUCGAGGAAGAAAAAUUGACCGAAAAAGAAGUCUUUGAUCUGGAUAAGGCCUUUUCUCUUGGAGGUAUUUAAUAUUUGUAGCAAUCAAAAGAAUGAUAAUAGAUGGAAGGAUUGUCUUUUCAUUGUAUAUGCUCAUAUCCGUGUAUAUGAGACAGCCUUAACAAUGAAUCCAGAAGAUAAUUCUAAAUUUAGUGAGGAGAAUAAUAACCCAUUAUACAUUGUGCUUAUUAGCAAAAUAUAAAAUUGUAUCAGUCAGUUAAUAAUUAUUUAUGCACUGAUAAUAUUAUUUUCACAAUGCUUAUUUUCAAUUUUAUGAAGAUUUUCUAAAGCAUUUAGCAUUCUAUUAUGAUUUUUUUUAAUCUUUUUAUAAAUCGAUAAUGGAAUGUUAAUUUGUUAGAUUCUUUGUUUGGCCCAAUUUUAUGUGUUCAAAUUUAUGAUACUAAAUCAAAGCAAGAGUUGCAACCACAAUUCUUUCUUUCUUUCUUUCUGGUCUUAUGUAAUCCCUGUAACUGAGAAACCACUGCUUGUUAAGAUUAUUAACAAGCAUUAGUGCAUUAUAUUUGACAGCGGCAUUGGCACCAGUUUUGUCUUCUGGAAAUUGCAAUUCCACCCGUUCUCUGCAAAGAAGUGAGAAGCAUGAAGAAGACAAGUGACUCGGUGAAUCUUUGGACUCUGAGCCAACAUCUGUGUCGGUAUCAUACUCUCGUGUCUCCCUACCGAGGAAGGCGACGGAAUCGUCUCUCUGCUACUUCACUUUCGGUCACAGAUGUGACAAAUCGCUCCUCCACUCCGAGCGCGUUGAUUGAUGUCCGAUAGCUAAAACCGCGUCGAGAACUCAGGCCGAGUACAUGAAUCCAUGUGAAGGGAGAUGGAGCACAUCCCCAUCCGCGCCGCUGCCAAUCUCCUCCUCCUUCUAUCGUAAUUUCUGAUCCCAUACAUGUUCAUAAGAUGGAGACGAUCUUGAAAUCGAAGCUUACAGAAGACGAGUUCGGAUCCAAACCAAUACGAGAAGCAUAACAAUACUCGGUCGCUUCGAGUCUUCAUCAGCUCUAUUCCCCACCUAAUGGCGCGUGUAUCUCAGAGGAGAGCCUGAAAGGCCGAUGGCGACGGCGAAGUGGACGGGAACGGAAUUGGUGGGAAUCGCAUAGGACGGUAACUCUUUUUCCAAAGUUUUCCAUGCUGUUUGGGCAAAGAAUAAACCUUUUGCAAAAGAGUAGGGAAUAUAUAAUUGGUUGCUAAGAGAGAGAGAGAGAGAGAGAGAGUUUUUCUUCCUUGGACGAAGGGUUAAAGAUCUUUGUUCAUUUCAUUAGGUGUGAAAUGAUACAUGAAAAAGAUUCAGAAUGAAGAACACUAGUAAAAAGAAAGAGAGAAAAUGGAGGAAAGAGAGCCACAGAAUCCUGAGUUUAGAUUCACAGUAUAUAUACAUAUAUAUCAACAGGUGGAGUGAAACGAUGUGCUCCAAACGUCAGAAGCGACAGCUUAUCCAACGAUAAGUUUUUUAAAGGGGAAAAAAAGGGGGAGAGACAAAAAAGGAAAGGAACACUAAGACUACAGGUCAAAAGAUUGGCGGAAGGUCCCCAAAAAGGCCGUCGAUGCGGCGCUUAUCUUUCACAGCACCAGACCGAGUCUUUGGCUAGCCAGGUCGCAGCGCACGGGAGCGAACCCGACGCGGCCCUUCUCCAGGUCGUACUCCACCCACAGGUUCUGCUGGUGGUGGUGCCCGAUCACGUACGCCGCCAUGGGCACCAAGUCCGAGUUCCCGAAGGUGAAGCACCACACCUCGUCCCGCCCCCGCCGCUCCCCAGCUACCCGGUACAGCAGCCGCUCCUCCGUCACCGCCACCUCCGCUCCACUGAACAUCAGUACCACCGCCGGCAACCCCUUCGGCGGCGCGCCGGAACCGGUUGGUAACCGGAAGCACAGGUCGAACGCCCCCUGGAAGACGAAGUCCGGUUCGUUCAGCACCGGCAGGACCCCCUUUGUCUGCCUUUGGAACUCUUGCUUCAGCGCGCUGUAGGCGUCGCCGAGGAGGAAGGUGAACUGCGUCCCCGAGUCGACCAUGGUCUGCCCCGCGCCGGUGUGGUCCGGGACGAGCGCCGACUUGGGGAUGGGGAGGAGCGUGCGGCCCACGCGGAUGCCCUCCAGUUGGACGGAGUAUGCAACCCGGUCGAAGUAAGGAAGGGGGAGAGCGAUUUGGACGAAGGGGGUGUAUUUGAGGGGGAGGAAGGACAGGGUGUCGUGGCCGAGGAGGAGGACGCCGGCGGCGUCGCGGUCGGAGAUGCAGUAGGAGAAGCGGCGGGUGGCGGUCUGGGAGACGAAGGAGAGGGCGCCCCUGUUCAUGCCGAGCAUGCCGGCGGCGUAGAGGUCACCGGUGGCGGAGGAGUAGGCUGACGUCAUGCAGCCAAAGACGGUGCGCAGGGGAGAUGACUCGCCGACGCGGAGGAGGUCGGAGGCGAGGGUGCCCUCCGAGGAGGAAGCGUCGGCGUAGGUGAGGGCGACGUGGCAGAGGCGAGUGGACUCCUCGCAGGUGGCCGGGAUGGGAAGGUCGCGCGUCCGGUCACGACACGUCGGGGAGGAGCAGGGAACGGGGGAGUAGGUGGAGGAGGCGCGAGGACGGAAGGACGGAAAUGCGGCGGUGGAGCCGCCGCAAAGGAGCCACGACAGCUCGCUGCCGGUGUCGAGCACCAGGGAGAGGUUCUGCGGCGGGCUCCCCACGGAGAGGGAGACGGUAAGGCUGACGUUGUGGUGGAACCGGAGCUUGUUGGGUGACAUCGGAAGGCUGGAAGUCGACAUCUUCUGGGUUCGCAGCGGAAGAAGAAGCGGCUUUGCCUUGGAAUCAGGAGCCAUAGUCCGUGCCGCCAUCACAAAACAGAGCAAGUUCAGGUUUUGAAACAUGAGAAGACACAAAAACAGGGGAAUAGAAGCAGAAACAGGGGAGGCCAUAGUGUAGCUUCUUUCUUCGUGCGAAACAGAGCAGUCUGGGAUCGAGGCAGAGACGGGGCUCUUUAAAUAGCAAAAGAAGGCAAGAGGAGGAGGAGCGAGCUCGCUCGGGGAAGGUGAGUUUUGGGAGGGUGGGGUUUGGAGACGCUCGCUAAGAGCGGAGUGGUUUCGAAUCCCUUUCUGCGAUAACACUGACAAGGCAUUCGUCGUUGUCGUUUCUCGUUUGCCUUGUAUAAAGAAAUAGAAGCCUCACCUCGUCAUCAUCCAUUCGAGGAGUCCACUUGCGAUUCCUGAAGAGGAAAUCGGAGUGACGAACUAACAAUCUCGACGCAUCGUUACGGCACAUUUCGCUCGAACGCAACAAUGGUGUGUCAUUGUAGCUCCAGCGACGUCUACCAUUGGCUUUGUUGGCUCAGAGAAAACUGGCGCCUGUUCCAAUUAAGUCAUCCGCCAUCGGCCAAAGGAGGAGGACGAUGUCAAAAGACGUGUCACAUUUGCGUUCCCACCGCGUGGUCCACCGCCCGUACGGGGACUCCACUCGUGAUGCUACACUCACUGACCUCCUCUUAGAUACAACAGUACAGCGCUCGCUGCAUGGCAAUCACCAGUUAAUAAGUUAACACAGCUGUUCCAUGCACGGCCUCUCUCUAUCUCUCGCUGUGUCCAGUAUAGAUGAUACUGGGUCUUACGAAGCUAGCUGUCUCUCAUUAUUUCUGGGAAUUGAACUGAAAUCACCACUGACACAUUUCCCAACCCCACCAAACCCCAUCGCCGAAUACAAAAUAAAGAAUCAAACCAAGUGCUCAUACAAAAAGGAAGGAUCACAUAUACUAUUAUUGGCUUUAUGAUGGUGUUGAUGAAACCCUUCAUUUUGUCGGCUAUGGUUCUAGAAUUUAUGCAGACGAGCUACAGCACAGCAGCUUCAAGUACGUCCUACCUUGGAACAUGAUGACGAUGUCACCAUAUUGACAGCAGUAAGAACCUUUUCAGAGCACCACAAAACGACGACAGUAAUGCUUGGCCCGCUCGGGGGAACAACCGUUUGGGUUUUCCAUGGAGCAGGUCUUGGGAUCAUUGAAUGGGGACUGUCGAGGUGAUCUAUCGUCGAUCCUGGAGAAUCCCACGAGCUUCAUCAGCGAUGAGGACAGAUUAGAGACCAGCCUCCGAUGGAGUGGGCACCGCAAGAGCUCAUCUUUCAAUGAGAGAGAGGCGAAGACGACAACAUAGGAGACCUCACCGUGGACCUAUGUUGAAAUUUCAAUGGCUUGUGUGCUCCUGCAAGGAUAAGCUUUGGCCCGUCAACUCUUGCACUGCUGCUGUGUUGGCCUUGUCCGGCUAAAUAAUUUAGUGUUCAGUGUGCACUUCAAGUCAAACUGACUCCGGAAAGAUACUUUUAGUUUUUUUCUCUUCUUUUUUUUAUGAUUGUUCAGAGUGUUCCUUUUUCUUUUCUUUGAAUGUUUAUGAUUUUGGAUUACGAAGAAAGUUUUCCUAUAUACUUCUCUCAAAUUAACAUGAUUUAUACCAUCAUCAUGUCAGCAAUUAUUUCCAUUUGACGUGGUAUUCACAUCAUUGAUAAUAUUCCGUUUGGAUAAUAACAAUGUUGGCAACCGUACACCAAUGAGUGCCAUCCACAACGUUGUCUUGCGUGAUUUUUAUGCCGUCAUCAUGUCAGCAUCGAGUACCAUUCUGAUGGUGAUGCGAUAGCAUAUACCAAUGGUGUGGGAUGCCAUUGCCGACUGCCUCCUUACAUAUUGCCACCACGUCAAGAUCAGGUGACUGGUAUGCUGGUAGCCAUUAAACCACAGUCUCAUGCCACGUUUUUAUUCGAUACAAAUGCGACCAAGAAAUUAAAAGUCUCCCAUCAUGUACUGUGAACACAGUGCAUCAAUCAUUGUACUGCAAUGACUUGAGAAAUAUCAAGAGUUAGUCCGAAUGAUUCAAAAUCCAAAUGCCUCGGUGAAUAUGUUGGAGCGACUAGUGCAUGAUUGGAAGAUGAGAUCGUGGAGAUAGUCCAAGAAAACACAUACAUUCGAUGAACAGGUAAUUGGAUAGGGAUUAUUAUGAUGCUGUGGUUGAACAUCAACUUCGUGGAGUAUGGGCUGGCAGUGAGCCGUCCACUUCGACAUUGAUGGGGCUGAUUAAUCACGUCAUCUUUCACUAACGAUGGCAAUGCAUCCGGUGAUCACAACCUAUCGAGUCUAAUCUGGUGAUUCAUAUUGCAGGGCCGUAUGAUUUGCUUAGGUGAGAAGGCGACCAUUAGUUGCCAUGAUUGAAGAGAGAGGAAGGCGUGGAGGCUCAAACGCACGCGGCUUCCCAAACUCUCUUGCUCCAAUCAUUCAUUCAUUACCUGUUGCUGUUACUAUGAGGAUAUGUUUGGAGAUUUCUGCGGUAAUGUUGUAGUAGAAUACGUAAAUAGUUUCUUUGUUUUGUUGAUUCAAAGGGACGAAAUUAUAUGCACUUUCUUAUUCGAGUGUCACUCCACCGGAAGGCAGUGGUCCGGUGACUACUGAUUCGGAUUCUUAUGUCUGGUCUCUCGGAUAUCUUCGGAUAGGAUUCAGCUGGCUACGCAUACCGAGAGUGUGGAUCCUAUACAUGCUGAUGACCUCACUUGUGGUAUCCAUAGGUAAUGUUAGUCUCCAUAUGGUUGCCUCACCUAAGAUGUCUCUGUUACGGACGUGGGUGAAGUGGUGGAACGAACGAUAACUUUAGAGAGAGCAAGCAUAUCCAACGCAGGCAAUGGUACGCACAGUCAUACAAAGACCUGAUGAUAUAAUGAUUCAUAUAAUGACAUACAUGUUACAAAUUUUCUUUUUCGUCAAAAUUAGAUGGACAUUUUCAGGUUUUUAUUUUGUUCCAAGGAAUAUGUUAUUUUUAUCAUUCAAAUUUGAUUCAAAGACAAUUGAAAUGUAUAUAUCGGUAUGUAUAAGAGUCCAUCAUAACAUCUACCCCAAAGAUACACGACAUGGCAAGCAGCAGAAACGUCGGGAAACCCUCACGUAGUCCAGCGCAGAAACCGAAGCACCUCCUUCGCUCGCUCCACCAAUGGCGAGGCCAAAUCGAAGUUGACAGUCCCGUCGUUGCCGGCGAGCAUCCGGUACUUGUCCUUCCUCGUGUAGUUGGUGCAUUCGAAGCCAAGCGAGGCCGCCAGGAUCCUCUGCACGUAGUUGGCAACGUCAUGCGGGCUCUUCCCGGCAGAGCACGUCGCCUCCCACGGCAGCUGGUUGAGGAACGUGACCUCGUAGAUUGGCCGGGGGUUCAUGAAGAAGAAGAUGGGGUCCAUCGCCUUCCACCCCCUCGCCGUGGUCGCGUGGAAGAAGCCGACGCGAUAGUUCAUGGCCACCGGCACGAUCCGGUCCGUCAGCUCGGCGAAGAGGGCGCUGAACCGCAGCAGAAAGGGCUCCCUGCAUGUGGUGCCCUCGGGGCACACCACCAGGUCGCCUUUGGCAAGCUCGCUCCUGAUGCGCUCCGCGUCCACCUGCCGGUCCCUGCUCAACCGGACGGUGCGGAUCGGUGACAGGAUCUCCGACAGCCAGGAUAUGGAGUACGUGACGGCCGGGACCUUGCGACCGAGGACCGUCGACAGGACCACCGGAUCCAUGAGGGUGCGGUGGGUGCACACGAAGAGGACGCCGGUGGUAGAGCCGGAGACGGGUGGCGGCGGCCGGCCUCUCACGAUGAGCGCUCCGCCGAACGGGCGUGCGAUGUAAGGGAUGACCCAUAUGGGGACGGUCAGACCCACCGCGAUGCGGACGAAGGCGAGCACUAUACCAAAUGGUAUCCACAAAAUGGUGAGGAGUGCUGUGAAUGGCGUGGGACGGCGCACGAGGCGGCCAUCAUGGAAGAUCACCGGCGGCGGUCGUCUUUGUUCUUCCUCGUUGUGCACCGGGUCAGCGGAGACUGGCAUGCGAUGUAGUUCCUGCUCACGUACCAAAUGUUGUUAUUUGCUCUGUUUAAGGAUAGCUAUCUACUCUGUUUAUACUUGAAGAAGUGUAGUUAACAUCUGUUUACCUCCCUACUUACGUCGUCAACAAGUUACAGCGGUUUUGUACUCAAAUAUAAUUCUCAUGGUCUCUACAGAGGGUUUGAUCUCAAAAAUAAAAAUUUUCUAUCAAACUAUUGCGAAGCAACAAUGUUUUUGGACUUAUAUGAUCUUAGGAGAAUCCUGCUCUUAGAAAGAUAAGAAUUUUAGAUCAGAAUCAUGUGAAUCGUUCCGAUACAUCCGCAAAAUGAACUGUUCCAACUUACCUUGCACAGAAAUGAGAAUGACUGUGCCGAGGCCGAUGUGCACAAACCUACAUCAGCCUUCUCCUUCCCACAGACGGCCAUCACCUGCUCGGCCAAGGACUUCUCUACUUUCUUGAGGAACCCGGUGGCGUACCCGGAUCGACUGACCUCGAGCUCACAUCCCACUACCUCGACGGCACCGAGGUGGUCCUUCGCGAACCUCUCCACCAUCACCGUCGGGCACCGCGUCACCACCGCCCGCCGCUCGAACGCGCUGAACGCGUUCCACGCCGCCACGUCCACGUCCUCCACGUAGAACUUGGGCAGCACGGCCCUCGCCACCGCCUCGAUCUCCGACUCCUGCACUCCCGCGACGGCCACGAAGACCAUGAGCCUGAGCCCGAGCUGGCCGAGGCGGAACAGGUCGAGCAGGCGGAGCAGGGGCCACAGGAGCAGCAGCACCACGAAUCGGACCAAGCCCGACGUCUCGAACGCGACGAGCAUGAAGUAAGGGAAGGGGUCGACGUCUUUAAGAAGCGUACCCUCGAGCUCCGACACGAUGGAGCCGGAUGCCGGCCGGCCCGAGCGGCGAUCCUCCAUGCUCGUUCGACUCCUCUACGACGUGAAUGUAUUGUCGGAGUUCGCCAAUAGGAUUAAAGGAAUGAGGUGUUGAGGGAAGCUUUUGGCAACAGUAGAUGGAGGCGUGAGAAAGAUAAUAAGGCAUGAAAAGGUGGCGUGGGUUAGACCGGCAGCGGAACUUAGGGAAGGAAUCGGGCAGUUAAACUGUCCUCAACUACCAAUGGAAGUCUUGAGUGGGAUGGUGGAUUUAUAGACCUAAUUCGCAACAAACGACAUCUACCUGUAUCUUCUACUCUACCAUUUGGCCAUUUCUUUAUCUUCGUCUGCUUUCUUCCCUAAGCUGAUGCCUGACGUUGACCCAAUCGUUUCUAAUCUCGCUCAUGACUUCACAAAAACUUGCACUUGAGAGGACAUGCAAUGCAUGGGUGGAGUUGUGGCAAUUUAGAGACAGAAGGAUAAUUUUAUCGUCUUAGGUGGUUUGGAUAAAUUUUUUAGCUUGUGAGAUUGUCUUUGUUUUCGUUUCAUUUUAUUUUUCUUUUGGUCGAACGAAUGUGACUGUCGUAGUUUUUAGAUGAGAAGAGAUCUGCUUCAAUGAAGAUGAAGUUAAGAUACUUAUCUUGAGCAAAAGCAAGAAAGUAGAACCCAUGUUGAAGUAGAAAGUAGACAUAUGGAUCUUAUUUUGAACUAAAGAUAUCAACGUGAGAUACAUCUAACGAUGACAUGUACAUCGACGAUGGAAUUUGACCAUUUCUAUCAUGCUUCCUGAAGCUACAUCUACAAGGGGGCAAUAGUAUAACAUCUUAAUAAGUGUUCGACGAAGUGAACAUAUUUAGACUGCUCGUUUCUGUUGUAUCCAACUCUUACUUCGUUCAACUUCAUUUCACAAUUUAAUUUGGAGUCAAUCGAUGAGUGAAUGCAGGGCUGUUAAUGCAUCAGAUAAAGCCGAAAUCUUGAUGAACUCGACGUAGUAAUCGAGUCAAUUUGUUCAUCCGAUUCAUAAUCAGAUCGGACAAGAUUCCAGGUGGAUCUAAUUUGACGACUAUCUGGUCAAUUCCUUCUCUAUUAUUAUAUUCAAUAUUGGGGUUUUAGCUCGUCGAAAUGGACGGUUAAAGAGGAUCUUUAUUUCCGAAUUGGUUCACCUAAUAAUUUGGGUCAGCACGAAUCUAAACGAACGUAGGCAAAUCUUGGAUGUCGGCAGGCCGCCUUUGUAGAUUUGUCCAAAGCAUCCGAUGCCGAGUAGAUUCUGUAGGUACAGAUGGUUGUAGGAGAACCUAUGAGGUCCGUAUUCCACCUCCCAAUCUUAGUUUCUUCCUUCUUCUCAGGAUGAAAAGAACAAUGGUUAUGUUGAUUAACAAGAGGAUGAUUACUGCAGCUCCGUCCUAGAAAUCAAAGCAAGAUUUGGUAGCUUAGAGAGAUGGAUCGACGAUACCUUUUCUUCUGUUCCAUUUUACCCCAUACCUUUCAAAAAUUAAAGCGAUAUUUGGGAAUUGUCUGCAUGCCAAUCACAACAAAUCAAAUACAGGUAGCCUUAAACUAGACCUUCUCCCUCUUCCCUCCUCUCUCGGAUGAUGAGGGAAACCCCAUCGCCCCCUGCUCUCUUCCCUCCUCUUCGGGUUGCUUCCCCUACGCAUCCCUUCGGUUCCGGCUGUGGUUUCAUCGUUGAUCCCUCCUGCCGCUCGAGGAAAGGCUCCAGCCGCUGGCACCCUUUCAUGGUCGCAGGUACUCUCUUCCUCGUUGGGACGAAAUUCCAAUGGUCUGCUGGGUGAUGCAUCAUUGGAUAAAAUCAAACUCUCGUCGGCGGACUCGGUGGUUUUCGAUGAGGAGCACUUGCGAUCGUGGCGAGCACCAUGGAAACAUUGUCUGGUGGGUAGGUUCCUGCGACGACCACCACCGCUCGAUGGUGCCGGGAGAGACUCUUUUAACUUGAUUUCUUCGAGGCCUGAAUUCUAGCCCUUUUGGAGAGCAACUUUGGCACCUCUGGAGAUAAUUCUAGUUUAAAUUAUUUGCAUUGUGGAAAUAAGAAAAUUGGCUUAACGAGGGAGAUCUUAAGAGCUUUCAUUGUGAUUGCUUUAUGGCUCAUUUGGAGGGCUAUGAAUGAUGCUAAAUUUUCGAAUAAAAAUCUCACACUUAAUAAUAUUGUAGACACUGCUAUAGCUUUCUUGUGGGAUUAUGUUGAUAACAAAGAUUUUGAGAUGUAGGAGAGAAUGUCCUUAUGAGUUCAAUAGAAUCCACCAAUACCGAUGACUCGGGCAUAGGUUUUCUCAUUACGGAUAGUAAUGCUAUUCUUUAAUUUAUAGGUUACAAAUAUACUACUUGGAGGUUGAUAGUUUUCAAUAAAGCAAUUGCUUUCAAAGAAGUUUCAUAUGUUGCUAGUAGCCAUUGGGUGAGAGUUAGAUUCAGUAGGCAUUGUGCAACAUAUCAACCAUCCUUUGGAGCUACCAUAGCAUUCAAGGAAUGUUAUUGAGAAUAUUUUAGAUUUUCAAAGUAUAUAUGAGGAGGAGUUUAAGCGAUACAUAUAUUUAGGGAGAGAAAUCACUUAGUAAAUUGGCUAGCAAAUUAUUUUUGGAGGGAGGACUUCCCUCCUGAUCUCAUCUGAUUGCUGCUUUGAUUACCUCAUAUGGUUUUCACUUUCUUUAAAAAAAGAAAAAAAAAUAAUAAAAGUGGAGUCUUUAUUUCUUGAGGCUUACCAAAUCAUAAGAAUAAAAGCCGUUUAUGGAUUUAAAAGAGUCACAUAGGUAUGUUUACAACACAGCGACUGCUGCUACUGCUAUUCCACCCCAUGCAUAGACAAAGAAGGCCUCGUCUCCGAUAUGUUUCCAUCAAUCACAAAAACCACACACUCAGACGGGGUACAAGCAGCUCCCAUCGUCGCUCCUGGCCGUCGGAUCAAAGUUUGUGGCAAUCGGAUCAGUGCACCCUUCUGGAACUGGGACGCCCACCUGUUGAGCUGCUUUCCCUGCAUACGGGUAGUAAGCUUAACGCAUCAGCUAUGGCCGCAAAGCACCAUAUCUUUUGUACGUAAGAGACAGGAUGACAUAGAGAGUGCGAACCGUAGAACUGUCCCGUGUUAAUGGCGUCCUCAUUGGCGUCUCCCAGCGCGGCCUCGCUCAGGUACUUGUCGGCCAGCUGCACCCUCUUCACGUUCUCUUGCUCCUUCACCAGCAUGUUACCGUACUCCAUUAGCUUGGCGAGGCUCAUCUUGGGCUGGUCGAACGUCGGCGGUCCUUCCAGUGAGUUGACUAACUUCUUGUUCACGCUUUCAACCCCGAUCUCUGCAACCCAUUUCCUCACCUCAUCAUCAUACACCCUGGCUCGGACGGCGCCAAAGAAGUCUGCAUUACAUAAGCAACAUCAGCUAAGUUCGAUGCUAAAGAUCGAGUCUGAUGAACGCCCAGCUUCAUUUUCAUUUUGGGUUUCGGGAAGCUUACCGAUGGACUGGCCGGGGAACGAAUCGACGAGCUUGACAAUGUCCUCCUUGGCGACAUUGUCGGUCCUAAAUAUUCCGGCGCAGACGCCGAUGCGGUCCUCUCUGGUUGGCGCCCAGUAGAACUUCUCCAUACGACCAUCACGAAUGAGCGGAGCAUAGAGGGUGGAGAAGUCGUUUCCGGUGACGAUGAUGGGAACGCGGGGGUUCUCCUGCUUGUUGUACAUUCCCGGGAGCUGCACGUUGGUUGGGUUAUCGGCGAUGUUCAUGAGGGUGGCGUUCACCAUCUGGUUGUUGACCGUGUACUGGGUAGUGCCGCCGAGCCGCCCAGCUCCGGCGUCGAGAUCGUUGAUGAAGAGGCAGCACAUCUUCCCCUUCUUGAUGAUUUCGGCUGCCUCCCGGUACCUUUGCCUGAUCAAUUUUGCAGGCUCUCCUGCAUUCCCACUUUCCAGUUCUCCGGCACUCAUCAUUAUAGGGCUGCAAACAGGACGGUUAAAUCGAUCAUGAGCCUCCGAGGAAUUCACAAUGGCUUCAAACUAGCUACCAAGAAUCUAAUCAUACGACACAAGUGUUUGAUCCUUCUACAAGGUGGGGAAACACAGAAAUUGACUCAGAUAUCAGAUCAGGGUGUUCAUAGAAUCAGAGUGCCUCACAUGAAUAUGUUCAAAAUGUGUACUGAUUCAUUACAGGUGCAACAAUUGAAAUUGUAAAAAUGAAUGAUCGAUUGCUUAGAAUCCAAUCUUUCUCAUGCUGACAGAUUUAUAAUUAAUCGCAGGCAUUGUCUUCACAUCUUUAAGGGCAAAUGCCAAAAGGGAGAAAAGAUGAUGGACAACGAUGAUUUUACAAAGUCAGGUCGGAUGUCAUGGAACUCAGAUUAAAAUACAAGAGGACAUAUUGAUGGUGAAACUUCCAUGCAGAGAAACAGCAUACAAGUAUGAAUCUUGUCAAUGGCACCAUAUCAAGCAUAGGUUAGCAGUUGCAGAACAGAGACACAGCGGCAGCUAAGUUGUUAAUUUACUUAAAUAUGUAAAUUAAGGGUCUUUUAACACUACAGUGAUGAAAUUUACUUGUUAGCAAACUCUCUGUUCUAUGGGUUUGUAUGAACAAUUUGUUCUGGUUCAAAGGAACAAAAACUGAGUCGUAAAGAUUAUAGUGUCAAAGAUUCAUUGGUAGUAGCAUGUGUGGAUCGUAUAAUGAUGGAUCAGAGGUAUGUGGAAAAAGUUGUGAUAUCUCAAUUCUCUAAGAUUUGCAGUAUGUUCAAUGCUUACAGGAUUGAAGAACAAAGAAAUAUCUGCUUCUUUAAGCAGUUCAUCAUGCUCAAAUCAAUGAUUCAACCACAUGAUACGAGCUUACUUGAUUCCCAUCUUGGCGAACACGAGCUCACACUGGAAGGAUUUCCCCUGCCCUUUGCCUCCCCAGAUACCCAAAAUCAAUGGAACCUGUCAACAAAUCUUCGCAGUGAGAUUCACAUCGAACAUGUAUCAGUGCACCACCAACGAGAACAAUGAUCACCUUGAUGUUGGGCAAGUUCAUGAAGUUCUUGGAGAUGUGAACAACAAGUUUGUCCAUGAAAGCGGGAGCGAUGUAGAAUCCAUCCAUGGUGUUGUCGAGGUUGUACCUAACAUCACAACAGUAGUCAAGGCCCUGUCUCUACGAAGCAGACACAGAGAAAUGCCAUGGAGCUGCAUAGAGAAGAGGUUGUUGCAGUUGUCUUACUGACGGAGGCCCUGGCUGAUGUAUUCGUAGGAGCUCAAGACGGCCUCAUGAGUCCCAUCGCCCGUGGGUGCUUGGAAGAGGGAAUCGGCCAGCCCCUUCCCUCUGGUGAUGUCCUGCUGAUCAUCCGAUACAUCGUAAGCGAGCCCCGCCCACCGGUCUUUCUCGGUCUGCUUCGACUCAUCGAGGUCUGCAGCCAAGACCUUGAAGGUGCGAGUGGGGACCCUCCCGUGGCUGGGAACCGAGUUCACCUUCUUCAAGCUGCUCCCCAAGAACACUGAGCUAGGGAUCGAAGCUCCCGAGCUGGAGCCAUGC